UAAAAUUGGCUUCUUGCAAGCUCAGAACAUUACCUGAUCUUAGCAGCCAGUCAAUGUUGGUAAUUUUAGACCUUUCCCAAAACCAAAUUCCGGGGAAAAUACCAAAUUGGAUUUGGAAGAUUGGUAAUGGCUUUCUUUCUCAUUUGAAUCUCUCUCAUAAUUUACUGGAGGGUUUGCAGGAACCUUUGUCCAAUCUUCCUCCGUUUCUGUCUACCCUUGACCUUCAUUCCAACCAGCUCCGUGGGCCAAUCCCCACUCCACCAUCUUCCACCUAUGUGGAUUACUCAAACAACAGGUUCACCUCUUCCAUUCCCGAUGAUAUUGGUACUUACAUGAACGUCACUGUUUUCUUCUCUCUUUCAAAGAAUAACAUCACUGGAAUUAUUCCUGCAUCAAUCUGCAAUGCCCAUUACCUGCAAGUUCUUGACUUUUCUGACAACAGUUUAAGUGGCAAAAUACCCUCAUGUUUGAUUGAGAACGGGGAUCUUGCAGUGCUGAAUCUACGGAGAAACAAGUUUAAGGGCACUAUACCUGGGGAAUUCCCAGGUCACUGUCUUUUACAGACCCUAGAUCUCAAUGGGAAUCUUUUAGAAGGAAAAAUUCCAGAGUCUCUGGCCAAUUGCAAAGCAUUAGAGGUUUUAAACCUUGGGAACAAUCGGAUGAAUGAUAUCUUUCCUUGCUGGUUGAAGAACAUUAGCAGUCUGCGUGUUCUUGUUUUGCGAGCCAACAAAUUCCAUGGACCCAUUGGAUGUCCAAAUAGCAAUUCCACCUGGCCAAUGCUUCAAAUUGUCGAUUUAGCUUGGAACAAUUUUAGCGGUGUGUUGCCAGAAAAAUGUUUCUCAAACUGGAGAGCAAUGAUGGCAGGUGAAGAUGACGUCCAAUCCAAGUCCAAUCACCUGCGAUUUAAGGUCCUAGCAUUCAGUCAAUUGUACUAUCAGGAUGCAGUAACAGUUACCAGCAAAGGUCAAGAAAUGGAGCUUGUGAAGGUCCUAACUCUCUUCACUUCCAUUGAUUUCUCAUGCAAUAAUUUCCAAGGGGACAUACCAGAAGAUAUAGGAGACUUGAAGUUACUUUAUGUUCUCAACUUAUCUGGUAAUGGUUUCACAGGCCAAAUCCCAUCAUCACUAGGACAGCUGCGACAGCUUGAGUCAUUAGACCUCUCACUGAACAAGCUGAGCGGGGAGAUCCCUGCACAGCUCUCGAGCCUAAAUUUCCUUUCGGUCCUGAACCUCUCUUUCAAUGGAUUGGUGGGAAGGAUCCCUACAGGUAAUCAAUUGCAAACAUUUUCAGAAAAUUCAUUUGCAGGUAACAGAGGAUUAUGCGGCUUCCCUUUAAAUGUAAGUUGCGAAGAUGCUACACCACCCACGUUUGAUGGCAGGCACUCAGGUUCCAGGAUAGCGAUUAAGUGGGACUACAUAGCUCCUGAAAUUGGAUUUGUGACAGGGCUGGGAAUCGUGAUUUGGCCUCUUGUGUUGUGUAGGAGAUGGAGGAAAUGCUACUACAAACAUGUUGAUGGAAUUCUUUCAAGGAUUCUCCAUCAGAAAAACCAAGGAAGAGAAAGUGGUGGAAGACGAGGUCACGGAAUUCGGAGGCGGAGAAUGUAGCACUGAUGAAGAGGGAUGUGACCACUGGCCAUGAGUCUAUUUCCAUUAAUUCAAUCCGAAACAUUAAAAAGGGGUCCAUAAUAUUAUUUAAGUAAAUGUAUAAUUUUAUAUUUGGACAAUGCCAUGGUGUAGAUUUUUAUAGUAACGUUACUCUUACCUUUAGUGAUGCGAGUAUCAUGGUAUAUAAAUAAACGGUUUUUAUAUAAUAAAGAAUUUAAGUUGUAAAACCACUCCAUGAAAGCUUUCCUACAAAUAUAACAUGUUAUAUUUAAGAAAUUUGAAACAAAGCUAUAGAAAAUUGUUUUUACAUAUUAAAUAGAAAAUAUCUUUUCUACCCAUGUCCAGAAAUGCUUUUUAUGUACAGCCACAGUCUAUAACCAUUUUAAACCUACCCAAAUUAAAAUUCUAACUAGGGUGAUUCAGGGAGCCACUCAAGCUGGGCUGGAGAAUGGGUAAAGAUAUGUUGGCUGGAUGUGGGCCCGAGUUGGGCUAAACUUCGUUGGGUGGAUUUCUGUUGGUAUUAAAAAAUAUGGGCCUGGUUGUUACAAACGAAGACCCCCAAUGAGGGAGCUAGGUCCAUAUUCAGCCCAAUCAGCACAUCUGAAGCCAUAAGGGAUUUAACAACAUGAGCUUGAAAACUAAAACCCAAAACCAUUCCCUAAAUUAUCAAAAUCCAUGUCCAGCUUGGCAUUCAAAUUGAAUUUCCCUAAGCAGGUUCAAUCUCUCCUUCCCUAUUUCACCCUUUAUGAAUCCAUGACCUUCACAUCAUACCCCGCAAAUGACUGUACAGUUUUUGGGUUUGUUUUUGCCUUCCUAAUCAACUUUUAUGUUAAGGUAAAGAAUUCAUUUGGGUCUUCACAUAGUAGUUUAUCUAUCAUUUGUAAUUAUUGUGAGAAAAGAUUAUAUAAUUUCACUUCUUUUUUUUUUUUUUCAUCUAGUUUUAGGAUGCAUUGGUACAUGGAAAUGAAAAUGGAAAUAUGAUGGAAAUGGAGGUAAAUAAUAAGUGAGAGUAAAAUUUAGUUUCCAUGAUAAUGAAUCUUUUUAUUCCUAUUUUCAUUCUAAGAAACUAUUCAACCACAUUAAUGAAAGGAAAAUUGAAUUGAUUUCUCAUUCCUUAUUUUGCUAUUCCAAACAUGGCUUUUAAUCUAUUUUACUUUUAAAAGAAAGAAAAACUUAUCUUUAAGGACUCAAGGAUGUACCAAACGUAAUUAGAGUUGGUAAGUAGUUAAUAGAUUGUCCAUUGUUUGUAACUAAUUAGAAGGUUGUAAGUUAUAUAAUUUGUGGCUACUUAUUAGUGUUGCUGUGUGGUUGUUCAAUUUUUUAGUUUUUAUUUUUUUUAUCAAUUUUCUCUCAAACAAGUGCUCUGGAUCUCUUACGUACUCUCUCCAUAUUGAUUGUUUUGUACGUAGCUACCAAAGAGUUUUAGAAAGUGUAUGCUUGAGGCACAUAACAUGAGAUCUUUCAAAGUUUGCAAAUCAUAACAAAAAAAGAUAUGUAGAUUUGUGACACUUUGAGGUAAUGAGACAUUGGAGAUGGAAAUAUUGAAAAUGAUGUCUCUUCUCUCAUUAAAAUUUUUCUCUUGGUUGAAAAUUUAUAGCACAAUUUAUUGAAUAUUAAUUAAUUUUGUGACAAAGAUUUUUAUAUUAUUUUUUUUUUUACUUAAUUUGUUGUAUUAUUAAAGAUAUUCAAAAUGAUGAAAUCAUUUCCUGAGGGUCAUAAAAAUAAAACGGUUUAUACUACAAAACAUAAUAAAAAAUAUAAUUAAUGACCAUGAAAUUUUUUUUCUAUAUAUGAUUAAUUCGAUUUGAAGACUAAUAUAAGUGUUUAAUCAUCUCUAAUCUUACAUAUUCAUCCCAAUGUUACUUUUUAAUAAGCCUUUUUCCUAGAGUCAACAAUCUCUCCCCUAAGAUAGAGCUCCUAUAAUUCGAACUCAUGAUCUAAUUUUGAUAUCACUUGUUAAGAUCAAGAACUUAGCUAUAUUAUCUUUGAAAAUCAAUUUGCUAUCAAUGAGGUCAUCCUAAUCCUUUUUAUGUGGUUCUCGUUCGUACUCAUCUUGAGACUUAACCAUCUCGAGUGAAAUAUUGGUGCCUUAGCAUCUUCCGCUUUACACAUUUUUCAAUAGCCAUUUUUUGUAAGAAGCAACAAUAUUAUUGCACACUUAACAACUUUCUCCUUCCUUUGUCUUACGUAGUUUGAUGCUUUGAUAGGACAAUGACCAGAACCGGAGAUUAGAGGAUGACCAACAAUGACCACCUUUUUGAUGCCCUAAUUCAUGAAUAACUAACAUGCUUUGAUACUAUUUUGAAUCUUUGAUACUCUGAUUCACCAAUGGCCUUCAAACUGACGAGUUGAUUCCAUUUCAAAUUAGUGUGUUAAUGAUGCUGAUGCUGUUCUGAUUAGAGGAAGCUGAUGGUGCUCGAAUUUGAAGCUGGGGAUUCUGUUGCAGGGUACUGAUUAUACCAGUGCUAUAAUAUGGUAGUGAUUUUGUUUAUUGGAGAAGGAGAUUUUGAAUAUUUGAUCGAUGCUGCUAGUUGAAAGGUAUUUUUGAUAUUUAAAUAUUUUUGAUGAAUAUGCUCCAAUCCAGGACAUUGUUUGAUCAAUAGGCCCAAUACGUAAUUUCCUAGUUUGUUUUUUAGUAAUUGGAAGUAAAGAGAAAUUUGAGGGUGUGCAAACUUAAGGGUAAGUGAGUUUGACAUUACAAGUGGCUAUUGUGAAAAUUUAUGUAGAAUCUAUUAUUUUUUAAUUUUUUAUAAUUAUUUUAAUUUUAAUAAUAUAUAAAUUAUGUGUUUAUAGCAUUAUCAAUUUGAUCAAAGUUCAAUGAAUAGUUUGACUGUUGAACCGUAAAUCAAUGACUUUUUCAAUUUAGUUCUCUAAAAUAUUAAACAUUGCAAAUGGGAGUACAUAUUAAUUAAAAAACAAACAAACAAAACUUAUCUUUACGUCAAGAACUUCAUAUUUGCUCAUUUUAGGACUUUUAAUAAUGGAGGAACGUAUCAUGCAUUUGCCAUAAUGAAUGAUUUAGGUACAUAUGAGUUUUAUUUUUAAGUUAUAAAAAUGAACCUUCUCUUUUUCUGUCAAAAUCUUGCAAAAAGGUUAAAAAUGAAAAACAAAAAAAAAUUACAAUCACUUAUAAUCUGUAUUGAUCAUGGACAUAAUUUUUCUAUUUCUAAAACACCUUAAUAGAUAGGUUGUUGAAGAGAAAAAUAAAUCUAUAUAAGAAACGACAAAAACUUGGCUUAAUGAAAACAAUUUUUCUUAAUGAAAAUAGUUUUCUAAUUAUUUUGGGUGAAAGCAUUUAAUAUUACUUGCUAUAUUUUAAAUAACGUUUGAUAGAUAAACUCAUCAUUAGAGUUUUCAAGGUCUUUAUGUUCUUUACGUAAACUUUUUAAGAUGAUCUUUAAUAUUCUUUAUUCAGUAAUAAUGUUUUUGUUUUUAUUACUUGAUUUGUAUAUUAAAAAAGUAAUUAAGCUCCCUUACCAUAUGCUCAUUUCAAAUUCAUUUUCUAUAUAUAUACUAAGAGAAUUAUUGACAAAGAGAGAUGCUAGUAGCACUAAAUAUUAUGUUGUCAACAUAAAUUUAAACUAAGAGCAUGUCAUUACAUUUGGUUUUAAUAAAUAUUUUAGUGUCCAUUCUAUCCAUUUUUAAUCUAUUAUCAAGCAUAGUUUUGUUUACCCAAUUGAAUUAGAAGUGAACAUCAAAAUAUUUUUUUCCAAACUUUAUGAAAGUCACAAUAUGUAGCAUUUAACAUGUAUGAGGUUUACAUGUAACGGUCAAUAUUUUUACUCAACCUUGUUUGAAAUUAAUAUAUAAACUCAUAUUAUUUCAAAUGGGUAGAAUUUGUUUUGUGAAAAUUUCAAGGCAUGAAACAACUUCUCAUAUAAAUUAAAAAAGAAUAUGAAAAAACUUAAAUACAUCAUCCAUACUUUUUCAUACUAUUUUUUUUUUUAAUGAAAUGACUUAAAUAAAUUCAAGAGCAUUUACGUCCUUAAAAACGUGUUUAAAGAAAAUAAAAGAAGAAAAGAAAGCAAAAUAAAACAAAACUUAAAUACAUUAUCAAUGUAACUCAAAAAGAAAAGGAAAAAAAACUUAAAUAUAAUAUCCAUAUUUUUAUAUUGAACAAUUUUUCAUUAAAAUUAACUAAAUAAGUUUGAAUGCAAGUUCAAACUUAAUUUAAUCCUAAAAUUAACUAAAAUUUAAUUUUAAUGCUAGGUUCAUAGAAAAUGCUAGGUUCAUAGAAGAUGGUGAGGUUAAUUAGUGAGAGUCAAGAACUAUGUAAUAUGAUUAUUAAAGAAGUUAGAAUGCAACUUCCUUUAACCAAAACUUCAAAGAUUGUUGUUCCUUACAAUUAUUAAACAAUUUGAUAACAUUUAAAAACAAAAAGUGAAUGAUCCAACUUUUCAUAAUGAAAUUGCACUAAUUAACCCAUAGUAGAGGAAGGGCACGCGUGAAAUAGCAUCAAGGUCUCAAAACAAAGGAGAUUAUGCAAAUCAUGUGGUACAUCUAUAAGUCAAAAAUUUAACUUUUUCAUUUUUACAUGCCCUAAAAGAUAUUGAUUUAGUUAAUUAAAUGGACCAAUGUUAUGAAAUGGGCUAAAAUCAAUGAAACAAAAGUUGACAUAUUGUUGAAUUGUUUAGAAGUCAUAAAAAUUUCAGUGUAAAUAGGUCUUUAAAACCAUGAAUCUAGUAGAAAUGUUGACAAUAUAAAACCAUAAUUUUUGCCAAAGGUUUCAACAGAAAAAAAAAAAAAAAUGGCAUGAAUCACGAAUAUCCCUGUCUCACCCCAUCUCUAAAACACGUUCAUUUAGAAUCUUUAUGGCAUUGAUAGACUUGGAGUAACACAUUCAUUUUAAAAUGACUUAACGUAGCUAGGAAGACUUUGAGGUCUAAAGUUAUAGAGAAGUCAAUAAGCUCUUGGGAAAAACAUGAAGCACAUACGUCUUCUAUAGGACAAGAUAGGAGUAUUGUAUGUUCUCUUUGCCACAGCGACUCCUGUCACUCUCACAGCCAACUUCCAUGAUCCUUCCCACAGAAGUAUCAAAGUCGAGGUGGUCGACCAAGAUCUCUGUUAUAGUGUGAAUACCUUUACCACAAAGAGUUGUAAGAUAAGCAUGAAGAAUGUGUUCAAGAUACAUUUAGAAUGCUGUGUUGUUUAUGCAUAACUAGACACCCCCCUUUCUUUUUUCUUUCUGUUCAAACAUCUACAAAAAAAUAAAAUAAAAUAAAAUAAAAAAUCAUAUUAAACAUGUUUUGUUGUAGCAGUAUCUCCCAGCUGCUUCCAAUGAGAAUCCAAUUCUUUCAAUGGCUUUAUUUCUUGCCCUUAUGCUUAAUCGUUUUUGGUAUCCAUGUUGCUUUGGUGUCCGGGGAAUGUCUGAGUGAUGGGAGCACAUGCCUGGAGGAUCAGAUGUCCUUGUUGCUGCAACUGAAGAGCACCCUCAAACACAAUGUUGCUGCAUCAAGUAAACUAGUUUCCUGGAAUCCAAGCGGGGAUUGCUGUUCUUGGGGAGGUGUAACCUGGGACUCCAGCGGUCAUGUUGUCGGACUUGAUCUGAGUAGCGAAUUGAUUUCUGGGGGGUUCAAUAGUUCCAGUAGUCUUUUCAGUCUACAACAUCUCCAGCGCUUGAAUUUGGCUAACAACAGCUUCAACGAUUCUCAAAUUCCGUCUGGAUUCGGUAAGCUUGGCAAUUUGAUUUACCUGAAUUUGUCUAGCGCUGGGUUUUCUGGGCAGAUUCCAAUUGAGAUUUCACGCUUGACGAGGUUGGUUACUAUUGAUUUCUCUAUCCUUUACUUCCUUGGACUUCCUACGCUGAAACUCGAGAACCCAAAUCUGAGAAAGCUGCUUCAGAACCUCAGAGAGCUUAGAGAACUCCAUCUUAAUGGUGUAAAUAUAUCGGCUGAGGGGAAGGAGUGGUGCCAGUCAUUAUCAUCUUCAGUGCCUAAUCUCCAAGUGCUGAGCAUGCCAAACUGUUAUCUUUCUGGCCCUCUUGAUUCUUCCUGCAGAAGCUUCGGUCUCUCUCAAGCAUUCGCCUGGACAAUAAUAACUUCUCUGCUCCUGUUCCAGAAUUCCUUGCGAAUUUCUUGAAUUUGACUCUAUUGCGGCUCAGUUCUUGUGGAUUACAUGGAACCUUUCCAGAGAAGAUCUUUCAGGUACCAACCCUACAGAUUCUUGAUUUGUCAAACGACAAGUUACUACAAGGUUCUUUGCCGAAAUUCCCUCAGAAUGGAUCUCUAGGAACCUUGGUGCUCUCGGAUACAAAAUUCUCAGGGAAAGUACCAUACUCCAUAGGCAAUCUCAAGAGGUUGACUAGAAUAGAGCUUGCAGGUUGUGAUUUCAGUGGCCCAAUCCCAAACUCGAUGGCAGACCUUACACAACUGGUCUACUUGGACUUAUCUAAUAACAAGUUUUCCGGUUCAAUCCCACCUUUUAGUUUGUCCAAGAACCUGACCCGAAUAAACCUUUCUCAUAAUUAUUUAACAGGCCCGAUUUCUUCCUCUCACUGGGAUGGCCUAGUGAAUCUAGUGACUCUUGACUUGCGAGACAAUUCACUGAAUGGAAGUCUCCCCAUGCUCCUGUUUUCCCUCCCAUCACUGCAGAAGAUACAACUGAGCAACAACAAAUUUUCUGGUCCCUUGAGUAAAUUUUCAGUUGUGCCUUUUUCUGUACUGGAGACCCUUGAUUCGAGUAGCAACAAUCUGGAAGGGCCAAUACCUGUAUCUGUCUUUGAUCUCCAUUGUCUUAACAUCCUUGAUCUUUCUUCCAACAAAUUCAAUGGCACUGUUGAACUAAGCAGCUUUCAGAAACUUGGAAAUCUUAGCACUCUUAGUCUUUCAUACAACUUCUUGUCCACCAAUGCGAGUGUUGGUAAUCCCACUUCACCUCUGCUGUCGAAUCUUACCACAUUGAAAUUGGCUUCUUGCAAACUCAGUACAUUACCUGAUCUUAGCACCCAGUCAAGAUUGACACAUUUAGACCUUUCCGAUAACCAAAUUCGCGGGAGCAUACCUAAUUGGAUUUGGAAGAUUGGUAAUGGAUCUCUUAUGCAUUUGAAUCUCUCUCAUAAUUUACUGGAGGAUCUGCAGGAAACUCUCUAAUUUUACUCCUUAUUUGUCCAUCCUUGACCUACAUUCCAACCAGCUCCAUGGCCAAAUCCCCACUCCUCCCCAAUUUUCCAAAUAUGUGGAUUACUCAAACAACAGUUUCAACUCUUCCAUCCCAGAUGAUAUUGGUACUUACAUGUCCUUCACUAUUUUCUUCUCUCUUCCGAAGAAUAACAUCACUGGAAGUAUUCCUAGAUCCAUCUGCAAUGCAACUUACCUGCAAGUUCUUGACUUCUCUGACAAUGACUUUAGUGGCGAAAUACCAUCAUGUUUAAUUCAGAAUGAGGCUCUUGCAGUGUUGAAUCUAGGGAGGAACAAGUUUGUUGGCACUAUACAUGGGGAAUUGCUGCACAAGUGUCUUUUACGGACGCUAGAUCUCAGUGAGAAUCUUUUACAAGGAAACAUUCCAGAAUCUCUAGUUAAUUGCAAAGAGUUAGAGAUUUUAAACCUUGGGAACAACCAGAUUGAUGAUAUCUUUCCUUGCUGGUUGAAGAACAUAAGCAGUUUGCGUGUCCUUGUUCUGAGAGCCAACAAAUUCCAUGGAACCAUUGGAUGUCCCAAGAGUAAUUCUACCUGGGCAACGCUUCAGAUUGUCGACCUAGCCUUCAACAAUUUCAGUGGUAAGUUGCCAGCAAAAUGCUUAUCGACCUGGACAGCAAUGAUGGCGGGUGAAAAUGAAGUCCAAUCCAAGCUCAAAAUCCUGCAAUUUAGGGUUCAACAAUUCAGUCAAUUGUACUAUCAGGAUACUGUAAGAGUUAUCAGCAAAGGUCAAGAAUGAGUUGGUGAAGAUCCUAACUCUCUUCACCUCCAUUGACUGGUCGUACAACAAUUUUGAAGGGGAGAUACCAGAAGUGAUAGGGAACUUCACAUCCCUUUAUGUUCUCAACUUAUCGCAUAAUGGUUUCACAGGCCAAAUCCAAUCGUCAAUAGGGAAUCUGCGACAACUUGAAUCAUUAGACCUCUCGCAAAACAGGCUGAGUGGAGAGAUACCUACACAGCUUGCGAACCUAAAUUUCCUUUCAGUCCUGAACCUCUCAUUCAACCAAUUGGUGGGAAGGAUCCCUACAGGUAAUCAAUUGCAAACAUUUUCACCAAAUUCCUUCGUGGGUAACAGAGGAUUAUGCGGCUUCCCCGUAAACGUAAGUUGCGAAGAUGCUACACCACCGGCGUCUGAUGACGGGCACUCAGGCUCCGGGAUGGAGAUUAAGUGGGAAUACAUAGCUCCUGAAAUUGGAUUUGUGACAGGAUUGGGAAUCGUGAUUUGGCCUCUAGUGUUGUGCAGGAGAUGGAGGAAAUGCUACUACAAACAUGUUGAUAGAAUUCUUUCAAGGAUUCUCCAAGGAAGAGCAAGUGGUGGAAGAAGAGCUCACAGAAUUCGCCUCCGGAGGCGGAGAAUGUAGCCGUGGUGCAGAGGGAUGAAGUGAUUAGUCAAGAGUCCAUUUCCAUUAAUCCAAUCCUAUGUUUCAUUGAAGGAAUAUUAAAAAGGGGUCCAUAUUAUUGGAUGGGCCUUCAAUCCGUGUGUCAAAUGUAAUUCUGGCUUGCUUCUUAUAAAUUUAAUCGAAUGCAUAAUUUUAUAUUUGGACAAUGUCAUGGUGAAGUAGAUUUUCAAAGUAACAUUUUUCUUACCAUAUUCAGCCCAAUCAACACAUCUCAAGCCAUAAGGGAUACAACAUUGAUAAGCAAGUAAUUAUCAUACUAGGUGGUAAGGUGGCUGCCCAUCUACUUAUAAAAGUUUCAUCCUCUUACAGGCUUUCACAUUAAAUUUGGCAAUGGUUCUCACUUUAUUUUAUUUUUUACCACAUUUUUUUAUUAUUUUGUUAAUUUAUGGGAAGAAAAAAAUUUAUCAAUUUUUUUUAUAGUCCAUUGUUCCAAUGAAAUGAUUAAACAAUGAUAAGAGUAUGAGAUUUUCAAAAGUAGAAGGUCAAUCGAUAUAACUUGUAAAUUUUUAGAUUUUAAUGGAAUUUGAAAAGUACUAAUAUUAUCAUGCAAGUGAAAUAACAACAUGAACUUGAAAAAUUAAACCCAAAACCAUCUCUAAAAUUAUCAAUAUCCUGACCCAACUUCACAUUCAACUUGAAUCUCUUUAAACAAGUUCAAUCCUUUCUAUUUUUCAAUUUUCUUUCACUUUUUUUUUUCUUUCUAGAAUUAGACUCUUUAUGGGUACCAUGAAAAAGAUUGCUAGCUAGGAAUGUAAAGCAUGGUUUUUAAGAAUGAUAAGUGCUCAUAUAUAUUUUGAAUCAAAUUUAAGAGAAAGUUCAUUACAAUGAAUUGAUUUUCACUUAACUACUCAUAAUUCUAGUAUGAUACAAGGAUUCCAUAUAAUCCAAAUCAUAAAUCCAAAUAAGAACUUUAUGUCUAUGGGAAAUCUAAUAAGCUCUAAUUGAAGUCAUCUAAAUUUAUCAUUUGAUAUUUAAGCUCUAAUUGAAUCCAUUAGAAUUGUUAUUUGAAUUUUAGACAUAUUAGAUAUCAUUUAGACUUCUUUUAGAUAAUUCGUAUAUCUUGUUUUCCAGGAAAUUUGAUUUCUUUGUCCAAACUUGAUGUUUUCGAACAUACUUUCAAAUUUAAUUAGAAACAAAUGUCUCAAUUUUUUUCAAAUAAUCAUCUUUUCCAUUCUAAUAUCUUACAUGAUGAUUUGUAGAAGUUGAAACUCGAUAACCUUUUUACCAAGAUCCUUGUUACCUUGCACUAUAAUGUUUAGUAGAUAAGCUUUUAGUUUUCUAGUGACAUAAAUGUUGGAGAUUAGUAGAGAAUGAAAAUCUUCAAAACUUAGAUUUUAUUGAUACUCAACGUGUAUGUGGAUUGCAUUAGAGUAAAACCAACCAAACACACUAAGAAAUAAGCUACUAGGAAAAAAAUAAUAAAAAUUAUAUUAGAAAAAAAAAUCCAUAUGCAUUCGUAUAUAACGGAGCUUACAACCAAUCUACAAAUAUUAAUAAAAUAUUCGUAUACAAACGGAUUUUUCACUAGCCGUUGGAGCAUUUAAUGCUCCGUUAUCUUUGACCAGACAUCGAUCAAGAAGGCAAAUACCUCGACCAGGAAGGAAAGGCUAUUAGCAGAGAGAGAGAGAGAGAGAGAGAGAGAGAGUGUGUUUUUUGCUCCUCUCGACUAGAUCUCAAUCAAGAAGGAGUAAUCGGUCAACCAGUACCCUGGUCGGUUGAGCCGGUUUGGCCAGUGUCUCGACUGGUUCACCAUUUUUGGCCCAAAAAACCUAUAUUUUUUUGCUAUUUUCUCUUCUAACACUUAGGCAAGGUAUUUAGGUAAAUUAAUUUGCCAAUUUUGAAAUGAUUUGCCUAAGGUUCAUUUGAUAAAACUCGGGUUUUGAUGGAAAUGUAACUUUAAAGCAUAAACUGAGUUUUUCAAAUAUGCAUGAAAUGAUACGUAAAUCCUAAGUGCACCCAUGCAUUCAUCUUACAUAUGUUUCCUAUGAUUAAAGGUCUUCCAAAAGUCUUAAUCUUGCAUCCAUUAGGUCAUUUGAUGAAUUUCCAAACUGACAUUUGAAAUUGUUUAUAAUUCAAACCAAUUAGUAACUUAACCAUAAUUUGUUAUCAUCAAAACAUGAUUAGGAGAACCCUUGGGCUAACAAUCUCCCCCUUUUUUAUGAUGACAAACCUUGGUUAUCUAAGAGAAAAAGAAUCUCCCCCUCAAACCAAUCAUGGAUCAACAAUCAAAAUUUACGAAGUUAAAACCAAGAUAAUCAAGACAUACUAGAGAGAAUUUGCAAUAAGAAACAACGUAAGUCAUCAAAAAUAUAAGAAUAUCAUAUAUAAGUCAAUGUAUCAAUAUCCAGUAUAUACGAUCCAAGUGAUAUGACAAUGAUAUGCAUGUAAGUCUCCUAGAUCCUAAAAUAUCUCCCCCUUUUGGCAACAUAAAAAAUGAACUAAUAGGGUCUCGAAGGAAUCAAGGAUGAGGAAGUGGAGGAGAAAACACAGAGCGCAAAUAAGCCAUCAUAUUCUCAUGUUGACUCUCCAAACGAUCCUCAAUACGCUCAAUCCCCUAUUGGAGAUACUCAAACUGUGAAGUGAAGCCAACCUGAUGAUCCAUGCAAUCCUCCAUAAAGUAGAACCGUGUGUCACUGACUACAACAAGCUCCUCCAUAUGAGUGCUUAGAGAGCUAAUCUAAGCAGAUAAAUCCAUCCAUGGAGCAUGGUCAAGAGCAAGAGGUGUUUAAGCAAAUGGUAUCUCAAAAAGUGUAGGCUUAGUGAAUGCAAGUUCAAAGGAAGACUUAGUGAAUGACAAUUAAGUAUAUGGACCCGCUAUAAAAGUUGGCUCAAACAUCAUUGGCUCAGAGAAAGUAGUCUCAAACUGAACACCACUAACUGGAGUGGAGGAAUGUCAAGCUCGGGCUCUCUCUGUUGAUAGCCACUCUGAGGGUCUACUCCACACUCCAUCUUUUUAAUCUCUACCUCCUCCUCAACUCCGGGAUGUGCCUGUCCCUGUCCCCGAGCUUGUGUCGUUGCUCUCUUUGCUUUCCUUACCCAAGAACCAUUUGUGGCCUUCUCAAAUUUCAUCUUCCCCAUGGACUGAUCAUCAUACGUAUCAUAAGCGUUGGGGACCUCAAAGUUUGUCUCUCUGCUCAAGUCAAUGCCGACAUCCUUGCACACUCUAGUAAGGAAGUGACCAUAGGGGAGUACGCGAGUCGUGCUCUCGCAACAUGAGAUCAAGUGCAUCAUCAUCAAGUACCCCAAGUGGAUUCGUCUUCCAGUCAAAAUAGAGUCAAUAAGGAAUGCCUCAUAAUAAGAGACCUCAUCUCGGUGUCCACCCCGUGCAUAUGAUGUAGCACUUUGCUGAUGACCGUCAGGUUGUGUGCUGAGGGUUUGUCCAUCCCGUGGGCAUCUACAAGUUCACAAAUCCUCUUAAUGGCUCUAGGCUCAAAUCUUGGCACAAUGGGCCACAUUUUGGACUCAUAUACUUUGAGUCCAACUGGAGCAAUAUCGAAAAUACUACAAAUGCUCUUUAGUCCAGACGAAUCUUGACGCCUUUAACAGUAGAAAUGAUCGAGCCACCUGAUGAGAAUCAACAAGCAUUCGAGGAUCCAUUGUAUGUUCCAGUUGGGCCUAUUACUAAAGCAAGAUCCAAGAAGAUUAAAGAAGCAAUUAAUGGGCUAAUUCAAGAGAUUUGGGUUGAUUCUAACGUAGGACAUUCCAAGCUUGGCCCAAAGGAAGAUGAAGGUGUAAUAAAUUUAAUCGAAGCUAUUGAGGGCUAAUCUGGCUUGAUUGGGCGUGAUUUAUGGCGUGGAUUAAUGACUGAUUGACUUUCGAACUCCAUAUCAGUUAAUAGACAUUUUUCCUAUUUUAGAGCUUCUAAUUUUAGGUUAAAUCUACCUUAAUUUUAGGCUUUUAUUAUUUAGAACGAUUUUUAGCUAUUUUCCUAUUUUGGAUUUGCUAAUUUCAGACCAACUAAACUUUUAUUUAGGGUUUUAAUAUUUAGUAAGUUUUUAUUUCAUGACAUAUAAAUAGCAUGCACUCAUUGUAAUAGAGGAUAAUUUGAUUGAAUAAAAAAUUAGAAAAGGUGAGGCUUUGCUCUUCUUUUGGUUCUUCAAGGACUAUGAACUUAUCAGGGAUUCUUCUUUGUGGCUUUCAAACUUUAUACUUUCGGUUCGUGAUUCCAUUGUAAUCAUUGGGUCAAGGUUGUUACUUAUACUUUUGGUUCACGUUUCACUUAUAAACGUUGGGUGUUCUAUCAAAAAUCUGUAUUUUAGCUUUCUUGGGCAAUUAUUCCAAUACUGUUUGUUGGGUCUCAAAGCGUGUCGAUUGAGGUUCACAUCAUUUGGUAUUAGAGCUCAGGUUCUAAAAUCAGUCGAUUGAGGUUCGCAUCACCACCUAUGCCAUAAGUCGCCUUUGAGUAAAAAGCUCACACCAAAGUCGAGAAAAUCGACUCCAAAACAGUGACCACAGGAAACCAACCCAUCCUAGUGAAUAAACCCUCGAAUCCGAAGUGCUCAAGUUGGGGAAAAUUAAUAUUUCUCCUCAGAACUACUCGUCCCAAAGCAAAGUGAUGUUUGUACCGUUGGUAGUCCACCACGAAGUUGAACAAGGCAGUAUCAAACCUUGCCUUUCGGGUUUGACAAGGUUCCAAAAGCUUGAAUCCUAAAUCCUUAAGAGGGUUUAUAUAGGAUUUCCUAUGGACUUAAGUGACUUGAGCCCAAAUUUGGCUUGAGUCACCCGAUCUAGCCCACUUGGGUCCUAAUUAAUUAAUUAUUUUAAUGGACUCCAAUUAAUUAAUUAGCUCAAAACACCAAUCUAGAAAAAUUGUUCAUAAGAUCUUGUGCAACCUUGUAUUUUUACUAAAACACCCUUAUGUGCCCUUAUGAACUACAAAUCUAAAUCUCUCAAAUAAAACAUGUCACCAUGAACUAGGAGCUCAAGCGGGGACCAUUGGGACCUAUAAGAUUAUAUUGGCUCCCUCAUAAUUGAAUUCCAAAAUUGAUUCGAGAAUCCACUAAAGAGAAACAAUUGUACUUCGGUAUCCUACAUUAAGACAAAGCUUAGGUUUGUAACCUACUAUUCAUUGCAUGCAAAUUCCUCAUGAAUUAGUGUUUGUAAUCUAAUAAGGUAGUGUUAUCAACCUAUCAAGAUUAGCUCUUUAAUCUUUAAGUUAUAAAUCCUCCUAUUAUGUGAUCAAUUGACAUACUCUAGCUUAUAAAGAACAUAUAUCAAAAUUCACUUAAAGAAUUACUACAACCACAUAUUUCAUAAUCAUAUGCCCUUUAGAUCAUCCAAGGGAACACUUUGUCCCAAUUCUAUGAGAUGCCAUGGUGCCUCUAUUGAGAAUAUGUAUUAUCACCAACCUCCAUCAACAAUUGCAAUUCAUAGGGAAUCUAUAUAUAUAAUCACUUUAGGGUCUUACCUAAUGGUCAAAACCUCCUAUUGAUUUUUAGCAUAGACUUAAUAUCUUCUUAAAGUUGAGAGUCCAUGCAAUAUAGUAACUUUGUGAAUCAUGACAACCCAAUGACCUUAUGUCAUGAUUCAUCAUAGGCACGAUUUGAAAUAUUGCAAAAUUUCAGCGAAAUAUCGUCGAUUUUUCGCUUAUCGGAGAGAAUCAACAUGACAUUCGUCAUUGAUAAUCAAUUGACGGAUUUAUUGCGGAUUUUUUUGGGAAUAUCGGUAAUAUUUUGGCAUUUAUCGACAUUUUUGCCUAUUUUUCGAAAAAUUUCCCGAUUUUUUGGUGCCAACCACUUUGGUCAACACGAAAUCAACCCUCACAUUUUUUGUUGUAAUGCCUAGGGGAUUUGAACCUAGGUCAAAAGGCUUGGGUUGAACCCUGGUUACAACUGGGCCAAAAUGUCAUUUGUAAAUAUAUGUUCAAUUUAAAUAUGUUAAAGUUCAGCAUUUAAAAAAUAAUUUUAAUUAUUUUAUUUUAAAUUUUAUGUAAUUGAUUAAUAAAAAUAUAAAAACCAACAUUAUAAUUUUUUUAACAAGUCUUUUUUUAUAUCAUUUAUAUGAUAAUUAAAUAUAAAAAAUAUAAAUAUUAAAAAAUCAUAUAUGUAUCAUCAUUUAUUUUACAUUAUUGAAUGCAUUUAAAUUAAAUAAAUUAUAGUUUUAAUAUUAAAUGUAUUAUUAUUGAUCUCAUUAAUCUUAUUUUAAAAAAUAAUUAUCACUUCACUUUUAAAUUUUUUAUAUUUAUUUGUUUAUUUUUUAAUAUCUUUAUUUUAAAAUAUUAAAAAUAUAAAUUUAUUCAAAAUAUACUAAAAUAUAUAUAAAAAAAUUAAUAAUGAAGUUCUAAUAUUUUAUAAAUUAAAAUUAAUUUGAUAAGAUAAAUAAUAAAUUAUAUAUUAUGAUUGAUAUAUCCUUGCUUAGAGAUAAUUUUCUCCUUAAUCAUACUUAUGUCAAUUAUACUUACAAAUUAACUUUAGCAUGUGCCUUUUUACUUAUUUUAUCAUUUUUUUUUGGAGUUUUUCCAAAUAUUUCAAUGAAUUUUGAAUAAUUUUCACCUCACCAAAAUUUUUGUCAAAAUAUUCACCAAUAUUUCUCCGAUAUUUUCAAUAUAAUCGUAAAAUUCAAGUAUCAAUAUAUCCAUAUUUUCCAAUAUUUCAAACCAUGAUCAUAGGUCUUGUCUUAUGUAUAACCAAUACACACUAGUGUACUCACAAUAGGAACCCUAUCUCAAUGGUCAAGAUAAGUCAUAUUUUAUAACCAUACACACUAGAUUUUAAAAGUGUGAGAUAAUGCUCAUAAAAAUAACAAAGUAGAGAAUUUGUUGAUAAUUAUUCCCAAAUAAAUGUCAUUAAAACAAUUUGAACUAGAAUUUAAAAUAAAAAGAUGUCACAUGGAUUAACCUAGGAUUUGAGAAAUUUGGCCUCAUCAUAGGCCAUACUACAAACCUUAGAUGAAUUUUAGGAGAAAAUGAGUAGAAGUUAGAAUAAUAAAACAGUUCUUUUAUUUUCCAAAACAAAAAAAUUGGAAAACACAUUUUACAAUCAAAAAAUAUUUUAUGCUUUUUGUUCUCAAGAACAGAAAACAAAGUGUUUCAGAUAAUAUCUUUUAGUUAUUUUAAUUAUUUUCACUUAUUUUUUUAGAGUUGUUUUAAAAAAUAAUUAUAGAAAUAUGUAUCAUGAUUAAAAAUAAAGCUCGAUCUAGAUAUAAAAAUAAUUUUUAAAACUUACUUAAAAAUAUUAAAACCAUUUCAAAUUCUCAAACAGACUUUUAGUUUACAAAACAUCAAAGAAUAGUUUUUAAAAAUUGUUCUUAAAAACUAUUUUUCAGAAUUAUUUCAAAAACAGUUAUCACACAGGUCCUUAAUUUCUAGCCUGUGAAAGAAGAGACAAAAAUGAGUAAUUUUGUUUAAUAUAAAUAAACAAAGAGUCAUGUGAAUAAAGGGAUCCUUGAUAUAACAACAAAAAUCAACCUUUCCAACUUCUCAAGUGAUUCUAUCUCUUUGUUGACCAUCGUGACAACCUUAAUCUCUUUUCAUUAGCAGUAGGAGUAAGGUAGAUUAGCAGUAGAUUCAUCAAUGGGGAAACCAUUUUAUGCUUGUUCCUAUCAUUUAGGUUUACAUCAAUGAGUGGUUUGGAGGGUGUACUACCUAUAGUCUAUUUAAAUUUGAGGGGAAAGGCUUUUAUCCUUUAAAGGACUUCUUGCCACCCUUCUUCAAUUUUGGGGAGAGUUCGAUCAAUAUUCAAUAACCAUUUAGCAUUAUUAUCCAAGGGGUCAUGGGAGAGAAGUUUCUCUAGCAUUGGUUAUGCCAUAUCCAAUAUACACAUCACUAGAGGGUGACAUUAUCCCAAUAAUCACAUCAUGCCCUUCAGUACCAGUAUAGUUUUGAUCAAUGCAAUUUGCUGUGAAUUUCUGUAGUGGUAGAAUUAUAGCCAGGAGGUUCUAGCCCCAGUAUCCACCAUAGGCCAGCAAAGUGAAUAAUCCUAGGAGAAUAAGCUCAGAAGCACAAGGAUUUGAUCAAUGGAACCUGGUUUUUUUUGUUUUAAUUUCUUUACUGAUAUAAUAAACCUUCUGUUUAUUUGGUUCGCUGUCAUUAUUAUAAUCUCUAGUAGUUGCACCAUCCUGGGUGAAUGAGCUAUUACCCCUACCAAUUGAACUUUUUUUUGGUUAUAGUCCUUGGUAUUCUCUUGGAAUUGACAACCAUUUGGAAAAUAAAAAUUCCUUUAUUUAGACAUAAAAAGAAUCCACAAGCAUGGACCAUUGCUAAAAGAAGAUUGAUAUGAGACUAUUCAACCCGAGACACUAUUUGCCUAGGUAUAUUUCGGGAUGGUGAUUAAUUCCUCUAAUAGGACUAGAACAAAUGGCUAAAUUGCUCUGAUAUGCUCACAUCUUUAAUCAAUAAGUUUACACUAAAUCAGUAUAACUCCCUACCAAAACGCUAGGUGAGAGAUCAGGGGCAAAGCUAGGUAGUGUCUGGGAGGGGCAAAUGAAAUUUUAAUAAAAAUAUUAGGGUUUAUUGCUAACUAUUUGGUUACUGGUGAAGUUCCAAGUGAGUGGAAAACACAAGACAGGAAGCACUUUUUUGCAAAGAUUCAUGCUUAUUAUUGGGAAGAGCCCUUCCUUUUCAAGUAUUGUGCAGAUCAGAUCAUAAGGAAGUGUGUCCCUGAAGAAGAGCAACAAGGGAUCCUCAGCCACUGCCAUGAGAAUGCCUGUGGAGGCCACUUUGCCUCUCAGAAAACAGCAAUGAAGGUCUUGCAAUCAGGGUUUACUUGGCCAUCGCUUUUUAAAGAUUCCCACAUCAUGUGUAGGAGUUGUGAUAGAUGCCAAAGACUCGGGAAGCUUACAAAAAGAAACCAAAUGCCCAUGAACCUGUGGACCCGCAUUUUUCACGUGCGUCCCCACUCGAUCGGCGAGACUCGCUUUUUAUUUAUUUGUGAAAAAUUGAUUUUUGAAAAAAAAGUUGGAGUCGCCACUUAUUUUAUUUUUAUUUUUGAAGGGAAAAUAAAACAAGAAAUAAAACCCUAAAAAAAAUGACUCCAUAAUUUUUGGAAAAGCGUGUCUUUGAAAACCCAAGUCUUGGUCCGGGGAUCAGGUUACUUAUUGGGAAGGUACCUCUAGGAGGUAACACCCCUCUAAGCCCUAAAGAGGUCUCUACUAAUUAAGUUAAGGGGAAUAUGGCAAUUAAUCGGUUAAUUAUGGAUACCUAAGUAGGCUAGGUGAUUUCAGAAAAUUUGCAUGCUAAACAAGAUCAAAUUGCCNNNNNNNNNNNNNNNNNNNNNNNNNNNNNNNNNNNNNNNNNNNNNNNNNNNNNNNNNNNNNNNNNNNNNNNNNNNNNNNNNNNNNNNNNNNNNNNNNNNNNNNNNNNNNNNNNNNNNNNNNNNNNNNNNNNNNNNNNNNNNNNNNNNNNNNNNNNNNNNNNNNNNNNNNNNNNNNNNNNNNNNNNNNNNNNNNNNNNNNNNNNNNNNNNNNNNNNNNNNNNNNNNNNNNNNNNNNNNNNNNNNNNNNNNNNNNNNNNNNNNNNNNNNNNNNNNNNNNNNNNNNNNNNNNNNNNNNNNAACAAAGAAUUAAGAUCAACUAAUGCAUUUAAAUUAAAAAUGAAUUGAAAUCAAACUAAUUGGGAUUAAAAAUACAAACUUUAUUCAAUACAAUUAUUUAAACUUAAGAAUUAAAAUCAACAAAAUACAUUUAAACUAAAAAAAAAAAGUUAAAAUCAAACUAAUUGGGAUUAAAAAUACAAACUUUAUUCGAUAUGAUUAUUUAAACUUAAGAAUUAAGAUCAAUAAAAUGUAUUUAAACUAAAAACGAAUUGGAAUCAAACUAAUUGAGAUUAAAAACAUAAACUUUAUUUAACGUGAUUAUUUAAAGUCAAGAAUUAAGAUCAACAAAAUACAUUUAAACUAAAAAACAAAUUAAAAUCAAACUAAUUGAGAUUAAAAAUACAAACUUUAUUCGAUAUGAUUAUUUAAACUAAAGAUUUAAGAUCAACAAAAUACAUUUAAACUAAAAAACGAAUUGAAAUCAAAUUAAUUGGGAUUAAAAAUACAAACUUUAUUUAACGUGAUUAUUUAAAACAAAGAAUUAAGAUCAACAAAAUAAAUUUAAACUAAAAAACAAAUUAAAAUCAAACUAAUUGGGAUUAAAAAUACAAACUUUAUUCGAUAUGAUUAUUUAAACUUAAGAAUUAAAAUCAUUAACAAACUUAAACUAAAAGAUAGAUUAGAAUUAAACUAAUUGGGGAUUUAAAAAUAAAAUAAUAUAAACUUUAACACAAAGAAUUAAUCAAAAACUAAAAUUUCCAAAAAAUAAAAAAAAAAAUAAAAAAAAAUCUAGGCUAAAUAAAAGUACUAUAUAGAAAACUAACCUUUGAAGUGAAAGAGAAAAUCCUCUCUUGAUGAUUAAAUGACAGCCCGAUCUCCGUUCGAAGUCCCUUGCUUUUUUCCCAAAAUUCCGUGUGCUCUGCCCCCCCCAAGAAAAAUCUCCUAUUCUUUUCCUUUUCUCACCUAUAUAUAUCACCCCUCAAGACCUAAAUUUGUUUCCAAAAAGGAAAAUUCUCCUCCUUCCUUUCUUCUUCUCUUCUUUUUUUAAAUCCUCCAAUCAAAAGCAAUCUUCCCAAUUUCAAAUUCCCCUCCAAAACCUUCCAAGGAGAGUCCCAUCUUCCUUAAACUCCAAUGGUAAGUUUCCUUGCAAAAACAUGAAAUUUUUGAAGUUAAAUAAUUGCAUGUAUAGAUAAAUAAGUAAAUAAAUUAAAAAAUGGUAAAAAUAAUAAAUAAAUAAAUAAGUUAAGGAAAAUAAUAUAAAGAGGAAGAUAACCAAUAAAAAGUGAAUGAUAAUCAUAAAAUUAAAAUUAAAAACAAAAUAAAUAAAUAAAUAAAUAAAAUAAAAUAAAAUAAAAUAAAAGUCUUCGUAGGCCUAGUGUGCCUAAACGGGCCUAAGGUGAGACUAAGUGGGCCUAGGGUAGUGCCUAAUGGGCCAAGUGUAUCUAAAAGCUAUCCUAAAAAAACAAGAAAAGCCUAAAUCUAAGUUAGGGCUGCCAAGGGUCACAAUAAGGGAUCAAAUAAUCCCUCAACCAAAAUCUCCGAGGUGACUCAGAAAAAGGUAAGUGGUAUGAGUAGCCAUGGGCCACCAAGGAACUAUUGUGGAGCAUUGAAAAUGAAUUUUAAAGACAUGUGCUAAAGGGACAAAAUUGAGGGUCUACAGAACCCCAUCCUUAUAGUUGAUCUUUUUGAUGUUUGGGGUAUUGACUUCAUGGGACUUUUCCCAAUGUCUUUUGGUAACUCUUAUAUAUUGGUGGGGGUGGACUAUGUUUCCAAAUGGGUGGAGACAAUCCCCUGUAAACAUAAUGAUCACAGGGUGGUUCUCAAAUUUCUCAAGGAGAACAUCUUCUCAAGAUUUAGGGUGCCCAAGGCCAUAAUCAGUGAUGGAGGUACUCAUUUUUGCAAUAAACCUUUUGAAGCACUAUUAGCCAAGUAUGGAGUGAAGCAUAAGGUAGCUACACCUUAUCAUCCUCAAACUUCCGGGCAAGUGGAGCUAGCAAACAGAGAAAUAAAAAACAUACUGAUGAAAGUGGUGAUUACAAGCAAAAAAGAUUGGUAUAUUAAGCUGCAUGAUUCAUUAUGGGCAUAUAGAACAGCUUAUAAGACUAUUCUUGGCAUGUCUCCCUAUCGUCUCGUCUAUAGCAAAGCAUGUUACCUCCCUGUGGAAGUUGAAUAUAAAGCUUGGUGGGCAAUCAAGAGGUUGAACAUGGACUUGAUCAGAGCUGGGGCAAAGAGGUGCUUAGACCUUAAUGAGAUGGAGGAAUUAAGAAAUGAUGCUUACAUCAAUUCCAAAGUUGCAAAACAGAGGAUGAAGAAAUGGCAUGAUCAGCUAAUCUCCAACAAAGAAUUGAGGAGAUGACAAAGAGUCCUACUCUACGACUCAAGGCUCCAUAUUUUUCCAGGGAAGCUCAAGUCAAGGUGAAUAGGUCCUUUCAUUAUUCACCAAGUACAUCUUAAUGGAGUGGUGGAAUUACUAAAUUCCAAUGGCAUAGAUACCUUCAGAGUCAAUGGUCAUCGCCUCAAGCCAUUCAUUGAGUCGUUCAAGCCAAAAAAUGAGGAAAUCAACCUCCUUGAGCCACAAAAAUCCUGAUCAGAGAAGGGUUAGAUGGACUUGGUUUCACCAAAGUCCAUAAUUUUGUUAAAUAUGUUAAUUUUUAAGUUUUGUAAAUUAUUUGAUUGUAAUUCUGAUCUUAAAUUAUGUUAAUUGUAACUAAUUUUUUUGAAUGAUUAAAAUCAGGAGGAAUUACAAGAAAAUCGAAAGAAGCUGCUCCCAGCUCCUCAGAGCCAUCACAGGCCCCUCUUUUUGUUAAUCAGCCUUUGCCUCAUUCAGAGCCUCCUAUAGGAGAGACAGCUAAGCCAUUAUUUCCACAGCAUCACUUCAUGUCACUCAGGAGGUACCACUUCCUCCCUAUUUUUCAAUUGCUUCUGUCACAUUGAGGACAAUGUUCAGUUUGGUUGGGGGGAGAGUUGAGGAAGGAAGUUUUUGUUAUUAAUGCUAAGUUAUUUUGGUAAUUUAGUUGCUUUUUGCUUAAUUUUAAAAUUUUUUAAGUUUUUAUUCUACUCUCCAUGGUUAUUAAGGAAAAAUUCUCAAAAAUGAAAUGAGAUAAAUUAAAUUUUUGUCUUUUUACUUGACUUAGAUUUUGUAUUAUGCUUACUAAAGUUGAUGAAUUGUUGAAACUUCUAUUGAAUUCAACCUUAAUUCUUCCACUUUAAGCUAUUCACACACUGUGCACAAUAGGUUCUGAUUAUAAGAUGAAGAACUAUUUCCCCCUUAACUUAGGAAAAUUUUAGACUUGGUACCUUUGACCUCAUUUAAUAGUGUUGGGACACCUUAUAAAAGGCCAAUGAGCCUUUGAAAAAAAGAAGAAAGAAAGAAAAAUGUUUACUUGCCUUGAAACCCGAGCAAGGUUUGAGGGGUAUAUGGUGAAAAUCUUAAAAACCUGGUGCCCUAAGCCUUCAGUGGUUGGGAGUCACCGACCUCAAUGCUCGUUACAAGGGUGGAUAGGUGGAGUUUAACAUACUGUAGGUGCUUGGGUAUUAAAAAUUCAUUCUCAAAAGUCCGGGGUAAAAUCCGAGUUAGUGGUUGAAAAAUCCUUAAAGCUUGAUGCCCUAAACCUUAAUUGGUUGGGAGUCAUCGAUGGACCCCCGUUACAUGGACAAUUUAGAAAAGAAUACCUUUAGCCUUGUACUCCUACAAUGAAAAAAAAAUUGUGAAAAAAGAGGUGCGUUCUUAGCCUAUUGGAGGUUGAUUAGUUUGCUAAGCUUUGAAAAAGAACUAGGUUGGGGGAGAGAUUAGUUUAACAUACUAUAUUCAGAAACUAAUAAAUAACACUUAGAUUUUUGUGGAAUAGUAAGGUUUGACCAUCUGGGAGUGGAAACUCUUUUAAAGCUUAAAUUUGCAUAAUGUCGUCUCUAUAAGAAUUGUGAUUAAGACAAGUUAUUUGAUAACUCUUGUUGAAGCUUGAGUUUUAUUUCUUUAAUGUUCCAUGUGAGAGUUAGAUCAUCAUGCCACUUGAAAAUUGUUUUUUGAUCAGCAUGAUGUUGUAAAUUAUAGUACUGUUUAUUUUUAUUUUUUUCUCUCCUUCAUUGCUAAGGGACUAGCAAUAUGUCGGUUGGGGGGAGUGAUUACUACUCAAAAAGUGCUAUUUCAUAGCUUGUAAUAAACUCUUUUAAACACUUUUGAGUAGUAGUUAUCACCUUUUAACCCAAUUAACAUCUUAAGGACCCUUGCAAUCAAUUCUAAUCAAAUUGUGUUAAGUUUUGGUGUUUUGAUAGCUUUUUUAUCACCAAAGCAAUCAGAGAUUGAGGAGAGUUCUUUAGAAUCCAUGACAAAAGAUGUUCGGACAGGGCGUCCGGACACACCAUUGGAGAGCAGCGGAGCGUGGGCUGUAGAAAGGCUUGCUCACUGUAGUCAAUGAUCCGGACAACAUAUCCGGAUAGGAUAUGCUAUCAUCCGGAGUGUGAUGUUCGUGAGUGCCGGAUAGCAUGGCGGCGCAUGUCCUCUUGGGGAAUCCGGAUGAAGUUGAGUCGGAUGGGUCCCUACACCUUACACACGCAGACAGUCCCUCUUGCGCAGCAUAGCUCAGUCCACCCGGGGAGGAAUUCUGUGCGCCAACAUUUCACAUCCGGAAUUCCGUGCGCCGACAUUUCACAUCCGGAAUUCCGUGUGCCGACAUUUUACAUCCGGAUAUCUCACAUCCGGAUGGGAGAGGAAGACGCUUCAACUUCUCCGGAUAUACAUAUCCGGACCUUUUGAUAACGCUUACCCACAGAGUUCUUCUCUCAGUAUACAGUGCAGCGGUGUUCUCCUGAAGCUUCCUGAUAUUUCCGACCGACAUUUUGAGAUAUUUUGGGAUAUUUUUCUUUAGAUAUUUGUUGUCUAAAUCCCCAAACUCUCCUUGUAAUCCACCUAUCAUAGGAUUCCUUAGUCUUUAAGCAAGAAAAAGGGUGAAUAACCUCAUAUAUAUAGUUUGUAAUUUUCUUUACAAAGAGAAUUAUUAUGUAAUCAGCAGAAGGAAGAAAUAUAUUUUACAGAGCACUUGCUCUGUUUUUCCUUCUUAUAAUUGUUUUCUCGUUAGUUUUCUUACUAGCCAAACAAGCUCUGAGGAAGUUUCCUCAGAGAAUGAGUGGCUAGACUUUUAGUUCCUUGGAGUUAAGGUUGCCGGGAAAGGUUCCAAGUGCAUGAAUUAGUAGCUUUGUGGUUUCAGCCAUUAAUGGAGAGAAAGUGUGAUCCUUUAAUGAUUUCUAUGUUUUUAGUUAACUUAAAACACUUUCAAUUCACUUGAGCCAACACUUGGUAAGGCAAGUGAGCUCCGUCCAUGGAGAUGCACUAGUUUACCUCUUGCGAGCUUUUGGGAAGUGACUUGGAGGUAGGAUUUUCUAGAAUUGCCAACACUUGGUAAGCUUUUGGACUCCAAGGAGACAUCCAUUAGUUAUCUCUUGCGAGCUUGAGAAGGGAAGUCCAAAGUUAAAGAUCACCUUGAAUGGCAAAUGCUAGGUGAGAGGCACGAGCCAUUGCAAGUUGCAUCAGUGAGAGGGAAUUAGAGCUGAAAUCCAUUUAAAUGAUACAUCUGUACAGCACUGGUUAGAGAAUUGACUAUAUGUUAAUUCUCUAAUGUGAGGAAAUGAACCAAAUGACCGGAGCUCUGUUUUUGCAUAAGGAACCUCCCCUGUGAACCUAAACCUCCAAGGAAUGUUUUUCUUCAUAAGUAAUUUCUAUUACUUUCUUUUUAGUUAGCUUUAAACAAAACCUCAUUUAAACAAAGUUUGUGUUUUAUUUCUUAAGCUAGCCUUGAAAUGAAAAAGCACCAAUUUACUUUGAAUUGGUAUCAGUUGUGAGUUGAAAGCCCUUCCUAGUGAACGAUCCUAGAGCCACUAUGCUAUAUUAGCUAAGCUAUCCUAAUGCAUGGUGAUAUAGGUUAUAAAUUUUGUUGAUUACUCUCUCAAUCAAAGAGCACCAGCUGGACAUGAAUCAACUGAGACACCAAUUGGGAAGGAAUCAGGAGGUGUGACCUGGGAUGCCAAUGGUCACGUUGUCGGUCUUGAUCUGAGUAGCGAAUCAAUUUCUGGUGGAUUCAAUAGCUCUAGUAGCCUUUUCAAUUUACAAUAUCUCCAGAGCUUGAAUUUGGCUGGAAACAGCUUCUGCGGAGGAUUGAACUGGCCUAACAACAACUUCUGCUCUUCUCAAAUUCCAUCAGGAUUUGACAGGCUUGCUAAUUUAAUUUAUCUGAAUUUAUCCAAUUCUGGCUUUUCUGGGCAGAUUCCAAAGGAAUUUUCGCUCUUGACUAGGUUGGUUACCAUCGAUUUCUCCAGCCUUGGUUAUCUCAUUGGAUUUCCUACACUGAAACUUCAGAAUCCAAAUCUGAGAAUGUUGGUUCAGAAUAUCAAGGAGCUUAGGGAACUUCAUCUUAAUGGUGUAGACAAUCAGCCGAGGGGAAGGAGUGGUGCCAGGCAUUGUCAUCUUCAGUGCCUAAUCUCCAAGUGCUUAGCUUGUCCAGCUGUCAUCUUUCAGGCCCAAUCCAUUCUUCCCUGCAGAAGCUUCGAUCUCUCUCAAGGAUUCGUCUGGAUGACAACAAUUUUGCUGCUCCAGUUCCACAGUUCCUCGCUAGCUUCUCAAAUUUGACUCACUUGCAGCUCAGUUCUUGUGGAUUAACUGGAACGUUUCCAGAAAAGAUCAUUCAGGUAACAACCCUACAGAUUCUUGAUUUGUCAAUUAACUUACUUGAAGAUUCUUUGCCAGAAUUCCCUCAAAAUGGAUCUCUAGAAACAUUGGUGCUUUCGGAUACAAAACUUUGGGGGAAACUACCCAACUCCAUGGGAAAUCUUAAGAAGCUGACUAGCAUAAAGCUGGCACGUUGCUAUUUCAGUGGCCCAAUCCUAAACUCAGUGGCAAACCUUCCUCAACUGAUUUACUUGGACUUGUCUGAAAAUAAGUUUUCCGAUCCAAUUCCAUCUUUUAGUUUGUCCAAGAGACUCACCGAAAUAAACCUUUCCUACAAUAAUUUGAUGGGUCCAAUUCCUUUCCACUGGGAAAAACUUGUUAAUUUAAUGAAUCUUGACCUGCGGUACAAUGGAAUUACAGGAAAUCUCCCCCCGUCCCUGUUUUCCCUCCCAUCCUUGCAGAGGUUACGACUAGACAACAACCAAAUUUCUGGUUAGUUCAAAAUUCUUUUAAAUGCAUCUUCUUCUAGAUUGAGCACCCUUGGUUUGAGUAGCAACAAUCUCGAAGGCCCGAUACCUAAUUCUGUCUUUGAACUGCGGUGUCUUAGCUUCCUUGACCUAUCUUCCAACAAAUUCAAUGGAAAGAUUGAACUCAGCAAGUUUAAAAAACUUGGGAAUCUUACUGAUCUUAGCCUUUCAUACAACAACCUGUCCAUCAAUGCAACCCUUUGUAAUCUGUCCCCUUCUAUACUGCCUAUGUUUACAACAUUAAGGUUGGCUUCUUGCAGGCUGACAACUUUACCUGAUCUUAGCGGCCAGUCAAGCUUGACACAUUUAGACCUUUCCCAAAACCAAAUUCACGAGAACAUACCUAGUUGGAUUUGGAAGAUUGGUAAUGGCUCUCUUGUGUAUUUGAAUCUCUCUCAUAAUUUACUGGAGGAUCUCCACGAACCUUUCUCUACUUUUACUCCUUAUCUGUCCAUCCUUGACCUACAUUCCAACCAGCUCCAUGGCCAAAUCCCCACUCCUCCCAUAUUUUGCAGCUAUGUGGAUUACUCGAACAACAGUUUCACCUCCUCCAUCCCAGAAGAUAUUGGUACUUACAUCUUCUUCACUAUUUUCUUCUCUCUUUCUAAGAAUAACAUCACUGGAAUUAUCCCUGCAUCAAUCUGCAAUGCCAGUUACCUGCGAUUUCUUGACUUUUCUGACAACGCUUUGAGUGGAAUGAUACCCUCAUGUUUAAUUGGGAACGAGAUUCUUGAGGACCUGAAUCUACGGAGAAACAAGUUAAGUGCCACUAUACCUGGGGAAUUUUCGGGAAACUGUCUUUUACGGACUCUAGAUCUGAAUGGGAAUCUCUUAGAAGGAAAAUUCCAGACUCUCUAGCCAAUUGCAAAGAGUUAGAGGUUUUAAACCUUGGGAACAAUCAGAUGAGUGAUUUUUUUCCUUGCUCGUUGAAGACCAUAAGCAGUUUGUGCGUCCUUGUUCUUCGAUCCAACAGAUUCUAUGGACCCAUUCAAUGUCGACCAUAUAGCAAUCCCACCUGGCCACUGCUUCAAAUUAUGGACCUUGCUUCCAACAAUUUUAGUGGUGACUUGUCAGGAAAAUUCUUUUUAACCUGGAAGGCAAUUGUGGACCCGCAUUUUUCACGUGCGUCCCCACUCGAUCGGCGAGACUCGCUUUUUAUUAGUGAAAAAUUGAUUUUUGAAAAAAAGUUGGAGUCGCCACUUAUUUUAUUUUUAUUUUAAAGGGAAAAUAAAACAAGAAAGAAAAACCCUAAAAAGUGACUCCAUAGUUUUGGAAAAAGCAUGUCUUUGAGAAACCCGAGUCUAAGUCCGGGGAUCAGGUUACUUAUUGGGAAGGUACCUCUAGGAGGUAGCACCCCUCUAAGCCCUAUAAAGGUCUCUACUGACAAAGUUAAGGGAAGUGUGGCAAUUAAUCAGUUAAUUAUAGAUACCUAAAUAGGCUGGGUGAUUUUAAAGAGUGGCAUGCCAAACACAAUCAAAUUGCAAUAAAGGAGAGUUAGGGUGCGUACCAGAACCGCUCUUCAAGCGCUAUCAUAAAACAUAAAAGUUAGUGUAGAAUUGUAGCACACAACAUUUGUUUUAUUCAAGCAAAUCAGGCAUAUAUCAAGAUAUCCAAGAAUCACGUCAAAUAUGGAUAUAGUCAUCAAUGGCAUACAAAUCCAUAGAGUUCUAAAAAAUAGAUGAGAAGAGAGCGUACCUGGAUAGCAAGCUAGUACUCCUCUAUGGGAAUCAAGAGCAUCUCAACAAUAAAUACGAAACAAAUUCAUGUAUAUCAUCAAGAAUAAUCAAAAAUCAACAUAUCAAGCAAACAAUAUUGAAGAAGGUAUCAUGAAUGUCGGGCCCCCACCAAAGCCCUAAUUGCUUUCGCACAAAUUGAUUCAACCAGUCCUAUUAUUUAGAACCAUGAAGUUUAUUUGCGCUUGUUGAAAAUCGAGAAAACCAUGAAAAUAGUUGAAAAUCCCAAAAGAUGCAUGUUUGAAUGAAAUAUGGGAGCAAGGGUUUUUAAAACUGAAUUUUCUCAACCUGAAAUCCUCCAAUGAUGAAAUUAAAAAAAGAAUAAUAGCUUUGAUGGAAAAGAGAUUUAAAAAAAAACGUGAUUCAAAACAUGUAAGAUCACAAGGAAAUAUCAAAACAAUAAGGGAACGGUGCAUCAAGAUGGCCACUGUAUGAGUGAGGUCUGGGGGUGUGAUUGAGACUACUUCGCUAAAUUUGAAGAUGAUUUCCUUAAUUCCAUUCUGCUGCAACGUUCUGAUAUGCCUCAAUAAUUCAGGCACAUUCAUCUCCUUGGCCAUCUGAAACAAGCUCCAUGGUUUGCAGAUAAUUAUAAGUCUCAUGAAUGCAGGAGUAAUCAUUACCUAUUUCCAGUAAUUAACAUAUUUAACACCCUGUUCACGAGUCAUGCAACCUGGUUGAUCCACCAGAUUGCAAAGAAUUGAUGCAAAGUAAAUUCUAUGAGGAACAAGUGAGUGUCACGAUUCUCAAUUUUUGAAGCUUCAAUCACAGACUACACAAAUAGUUGACUUUCACUAAGUUCAUCAUCAUCAUCAUCCACACAACCAGGUUGUUGUUUCAAUUCAGUGUCAAGUUGCUGAAUCUUCUUCUGUUUUAGCCAUGUAGGAAGCCUUUUCGAUUGUAAAUCCGGAAUGACAUCAAGUUUAAUCUCCAAUUCUGAACCCUCAAGGUACAGUUUCUUCAUUGAGCCUUUAUUACUUUUCCUUUACUGAUAUUACAGUAGUUCAAUUCAGGCAGCCAACUUAGCUAAACACUCACAACCUCGAAUUCAAAGACGGCACAAUUGGCUCAUAGUAAAAAUCAUCCCUUCCACCGAACUCCUAUGGCGCGGCUGGUUGUUUGAGGUGUAUCUAACCACUUUCAAAAUCACUUCCAUCAGCAGUCCCAAAUUAAUCACUAUGAGACUCCUUAGUGAGUUCAGGGAAUAACCCACCUUAGUGGGGAGUACAUGCACUUACCAUGCGCACACCACGUGGAUGUGCUCAUUGUGUCAAGGCGACUUUCCACUGACAUUUUGGCUUGAGAUUUAACAUGUAUUAGGCGCUGACUUCAUAAGCAAUGCCAUGUAAGAAUAUCUUUAACCAUUCAGGAGUGAUAGGUGGACAUUGGAAGGAGUUUGUAAUGCUGGAGGCAACAUCGACUUAUACAUCUGAUUGGCCGGCGAGUGGCUUCUCCAUCUUCUAAUUCUAAAUCCAUAGAACUUUCAGAAAACGUGCUGAAAUGGUGUUAGUGAGUGCACGACAGCAAGAAGAAGCAUUACAUAUGUCACCUUUCUCCCAAGCUGUUCAUCGGCAGUUUGCUCCAUGACCUGAGUAUGUCUUCUUUUCCUCAGGUAUUCCAAUCAUCUUUCAAUUCAGCUGGCUCAUGAUCAACAAAAUCUGGGUCUCUUGUUCUUUAGGUCGAUAUCGUUAACCAUGACAUGGGAAUAAACUCAUUUGGAGGUGAGUUUGUUUCGUCUGCAAUACCAGGGAACAUGAUUGAUCCACCACUGAGCACAACACUGCCAUAGUAGUUCUUAUCCUAAAAUGGUUGUUGUUGUCAUGAUUGCAAAUUUAAUUUCAAAUGGAAACCUAGAUGGGUGUACAGCCUUGAAUGAUUGUGCCAUGAUUCAGGAUUACAAGGACACUACUAAAGCACUUUAAAGACGGACCAUUCUUCACAUUCUCAUUGCAUGUAGCAGCGGCUUGAUUAGAUGCACGAGCAAUAGAGGCAGGGUGUUUCUGCUAAACAUAAUCUUGUCAUCACAAGCGCAUGGAGCCAAGAGAGCACCAACUUAGGAUUCCAAUCAAGUCAGAAUAUUAAGAGUACCAGGUGGCAGGCUCACCUCCAUGCACACAUUAGCUAGUUUCUAAACAAAUCACAGAAGCCAUCUCAGAUGACUUUAAUAUUGCCAUGCACCCAAUUAACUAAGGCAAGAGCCAUUUUCCGCAUAACUGUCCCCUGUCCCCUGUCCUCUUCAAGUUAUUAGAAGUCUUUUCCUACAUCUUUAAUUGUCCACACCAUGUCGAGGAAGACUAAAGGCAACUAGUCAAUUUAGAAGCAAAUUCCCAUGCAUUAGUUCUUUCUGGCUCAUCAAGCCAUCAACACCUCAACUUUCUAUAUUGUAAAAACCACCCAAAUUAUCUAUAUCCUGCUGCCUUGUGAAGAGAGGACCCCCAGUCCACAAACUUGAAGGAGAAAGAGAGCACAUAAGUCACUUUCCAUUGUAACUCGUGACAAUAUUGUUGAUUUUUGAAUUCAGAAGGGGUGUCAUCAGAUUGAAUGCGUCUGCUCCCAUGUAUGACCCACCAUUUCAAUUUUGUUGACAAGCUCCAAUAACAAUUGAGAUCUAACUCUCUGAGCCUUUACAUCAUGCUGUCCACAAGCAUCCUUCAGAAACCUAAUCAGUGGUUCAAUAAAAUUCUUAGAUGAUAGCGAAUGCCAAAGUUGAUCAUCACCCUUCAAGUCUUUUUCUGCAUCUUCGAUCACCUGGCAUUUAGGACUUCUGUGGAUGUGUAUCAAGUUCAGAUAAAAACUUCAAAUCUGUCUCAGGUUUAUCAGCAUACCAUGACAUCUGCGAGAUUCAUUACUAGUCUUCACGGAAAUCAAAUUUGAGCCAUCUCUGAUUUUAAUGCAUGAUGAGCCUGAACUGUGACGGUUAUCUAAAGAUUCAAGUGAUAUACUGUUGAUAUCUAUUGGCGGAUGUAGAUCAUUCAUAGAAAUUAUGAGGCUUGCGAUAGAGGUAGAACAAAAUUCCCAUGUGUUAUGUGCUGGUGGUUCUACACGUGGGCCAAGUUUGGAGAUUCCAUGCUCCAACAGUAUCCAGAAGAGUCACCACAAAUAAGCACCAGAAACAGGGGAAGGUAUCCAAAAACAGAGCAUGAAGAAUAGAAACAAAAGGAACCGAUAAAAGUCGUGUUUCAUGUUUUGAAUCAACGGUUUAAACAGGUGGGCGAAACCAAACACAUUUCAAAUAGAAAUCAAUACAUGAUCGCAGGCAUCUAACAGAGAAACUAAAGCAGUACCAAACCAAUCUUAACAAAACCCAAAAGAAAGUGAAACAUGAACACACUAUAAUCCAAUCCAAAGAAUAGCAAAGAAGCCAAAUGCAUGACAGGAUAUCCAUGCCCAAAAUCAACAACAAGCAAAUAGGUCUCUGAUGACCGCACUAAAGCAUCAGACAAGUCUCAAUAAUAGCAAACAAAAUAAGUGUACAAAGGAGCAGUGAUUUUACAAUGAAGAACUUACCUUUAAGAAUAUGCAAUCUGAUAGAUCUCCUCUGUUAUACUCUUCUUUCUGUUCUGCCCCUCUGUCUGUUCUUUUUUGUCCUGCUCUUCUUUCUGUUCUGCCCUUCUCUCUGUUCUCUUUUUCUGUUCUGCUCUCCCUUUUUGUUCGUUCUCCAUGCCUUCAUAGAGAUUCUCCCAGAAAUCUCCAGGCUGCUCUUUUGGAAAGUCCCUCAUCAUUCCUUCUUCGAAUGUGUGUUGGCCCUCCAAUCCUGCAGUACCCCUGUGUGUCCUCUUCGUAUAUAGAAGGCUGAUUCUUUUAAGCAUGGCGACGUGUUGUCUCUUUGGAAAGUCUUGCUACCCUCAGACUCAUGGAGAAUCAAAUCCCACCCAUCACUCGUGCUUAUUUUUGGAAAAUCCUUUUUUUCAUUUUUUUUUUUUAUAUGUACGUUGUAAUGUCCAAAAAGUCCAUAGGGUGCAUGCUGUGUUUGGAGAUAAUCUCCUCUUUCCAUCUAGGCGCAACCGGCAUCCCUUUUCUUCCAUGUAUGUACGGCCUUCCAUGUGUGGUCCGGAAUUUUGCAUGGAUUCUCCAUUACACAACCACCAGGAUCUCAUGCAAAAAUAUAAAAAUUCGAAUCAAGACUCACGCAAUCUCCUAGACGAACUCGGUUGCACUUGCUCCUUUCCUGCUCCUUUGUGCUUUCUCCUCAAAAAUCCUCAGAAUUUCUCCCAAUCCUCCAAUGCGUGCUUCCACCAAGAUAACCGAAGAAUUCUUAUAGUACCCCUGAUUCAAACCACCAGAUUUACUGAAGAAGGGUCACCCUGGCUAGCAGCUGUACGUGUUGCAUAAUCUGAAGUUCCUUGCAUGUAGUGGACACCAUGCGAUUCCAUGUAUGAGUGAAGGUCAGAGCCCACCCAAUUUCCACUUCGUCUCAAAACUCUGACCAUCUCCACUACCACUCAAAGCUGGACCUUUGAGUAAAGACUGGCAGAGGCUUGGCUGCAAUCUCCUUUUUCCCGCUCUUGUGCACCUUUCCACCCCUCUCAAUCCUCCAAUGUGUGCUUCCCUUGAAUUCUCCCUAAAAAAAAAUCCUCUUUUGCCCGGUCACUCAUUCUUCCUUCCUCCUUCCGAAAAACCUAAAUCUCCUUAAAAAAAAGCCAAAUCUCCUAUUUUCUCUCUUCUUUUCUCCUUAUCCUUUUUUAAAUCUUCCAAUUCAAAAGCAAUCUUCCCAACUUCAAAUUCUCCUCCAAAACCUUCCAAGGAGAGUCCCACUUUCCUUAAACUCCAAUGGUAAGUUUCCUUGCAAAAACAUGAAAUUUUAAAAGUUAAAUAAUUGCAUGAAUAGAUAAAUAAGUAAAUAAAUUAGAAAAUGGUAAAAAUAAUAAAUAAAUAAAUAAGUUAAGGAAAAUAAUAUAAAGAGGAAAAUGAAAUAAAAUAAAAUAAAAAUAAACAAAUUAACAAAAAAUGGGCCCUACGAGCCAUGCAAACAUGCAAACCAUGCAAAAACAUCUAAAGGUGACCUAGGGUGUGUCCUAGUGCGCUAGGGCAAACGAAGUGGACUAAGUGUGCUUAAAAGCUAUCCUAAAAAAAACAAGAAAAGCCUAAGUCUAAGUUAGGGCUGCCAAGGGUCACAAUAAGGGAUCAAAUAAUCCCUCAACCAAAAUCUCCAAGGUGGCUUAGAAAAAGGUAAGUCGUACGAGUAGUAAUGGGCCACCAAGAAACUAUUGUGGAGCACUGAACACGAAUUUAAAGACAUGUGUUAAAGGGACAAAAUUGAGGGUCUACAGCAAUGAGGGCUGAUAAAGAUGGAGCCAGGUCAGAGCUCAAUCACCUACAACUUCAGGUACUACAAUUCAGCCAAGUGUACUAUCAGGAUACGGUGACUGUCACUAGCAAAGGCCUAGAAAUGCAGCUUGUGAAGAUUCUAACCGUCUUCACUGCCAUUGAUUUCUCCUUCAACAAUUUCCAAUGGGAGAUACCAGAAGCUAUGGGAAGCUUGAUUUCACUUUAUGCUCUCAACCUGUCCCAUAAUGCUUUGACGGGCCAAAUCCCAUCAUCACUAGGGAAGUUGCGGCAGCUUGAGUCAUUGGACCUCUCACAGAACAGCCUUAGGGGGGAGAUACCAGCACAGUUUGUGAGCCUAAAUUUCCUUUCCUUCCUUAACCUCUCCUUUAAUCAACUGGAGGGAGAAAUCCCCACAGGUACUCAACUUCAAACGUUUUUGGAAUCUUCUUAUGAAGGGAACAAAGAACUAUGCGGACCCCCCUUGAAGAGGAAGUGCACAGAUCCAUCCCCACCCACCUAUGAAGAAACACAUCCGGAUUCUGGGAUGAAGAUUAACUGGGUGUACAUAGGUGCUGAAAUUGGAUUUGUCACCGGUAUAGGAAUUGUGAUUGGGCCUCUUGUGUUAUGGCGAACGUGGAGACGAUGGUACUACACACAUGUGGAUAGACUUCUUUUGAGGAUUCUCCCGCGUCAAGGCGAAGGAGUUCAUGGCAGGAGACGUCAUAGAAGUCAGGGACGGAGACUCUAGCACCAGAAAGGUGGCGCAGCUAGAGUUUGUUCUAUGGAAGGAAAAAUAAAAACUAAAAAGUAUGUUCAUUGCUAGGAUUUCUGUGUUUUUUUACCUUAAAAAUUGGAAGUACGUUGUUUUUGAAUAAUAUCUUUCAAUUAUUUUAACUUAUUUUAAAAAAUAAUUAUACAAAUAUGAACAAAAAUUAAAAAUAAAAUAAUACUGUAGACCCCCAUUUUGGGGGGCAUCUUUUUGCAAAUUAUUUAUGUUGGUGGAGGGCUCUUAACGAGCCACAUGUUGCCCCAAGUUUGGUCUUUAGAGAAUCAUGUUAGUGGUUUGAAGAAGCAAUGGGAGGGCGACACGUGUCAUGGGAAUAUUCAGAAACAAUUUUUUUUUUAGGGAUUUGGAGGAGCAUAUAUUUGAUAUAGAGACAGGGAGGCCGUUAAGGAAGGGGAGAUAUUUGGUUGCUGUUACAGAGAGGUAUAGGUAGCUUGGGAGGCAAGACUGAGGAGGCAUGUUUUUUGGGGUUGCUUAGGAGAGAGGGAUACCUGGGGGGAUUCUCUCUGGAGGAGGUUACAGAGGAGUGUUUUUUUUAGUAGCUUGAGAGAGAAGACAAUUGGAGAGAAGACCAUUUGAGCUAGAGAAUGGGAGGAGGAGAAUCGAUUGAGCUUGGAAGGGAGAACUGGUCAGAGAGAGGAGGAAACACACAGAAGAAUCGUCUUGAAAGAGGGUGACACAGUAAAUCGGCCCAUCACUCAGGUACACUCCUUGCCUAUCUUGUUUAUUCGGUUAUUUUGUUUUGAUUGAUAUUCAUUCGGUAUCCAUGUUUGAUCAAUCAAUUGUCAUACUUGCUUCAGCUCAUUAGUAGAGACCCGUUUUUAGGGACUUAGAAGGGUGUUACGAUCUUUACCGUACCUUCCCAAUAAGUAACCUAACCCCCGAGCUCAAACUUGAUUUUUCACAGACCACCUUUUCCAAAAUAAAGAGUCACACUUAGGGUUUUCUUUCUUAUUUUGUUUACCCUUUAAAAAUAAAACAAAAAUAAGUGGCAACUCCAAGUUAUUUUCUUAAAAAAUAAAUAAUUUUCAAAUAAAAAGCGAGUUUUCCAUCGAGUGGAAGCGCAUGAGCAUAAAUACGAGGUCCACAAAUACACACUUAGGGUUUUCUUUCUUCAUUUUGGCAUUCAAAGCCACAUCUUCAUUUUGGCGUUCAGAGCCACCAUCCCUUUUUAAUUUGGCAUUCAGAGUCACUAUCUCUUUUUUCGAUUUGGUGUUCAAAGUCGCAUCUUCAUUUUGGCGUCCAGAGCCGUUGUUUGCUUCUAGUUCAGUAUUCAUAGCCAUCAUACCUCUUUUUCGGUUUGGCAUUCAGAGUCGUAUCUUCAUUUUGGCAUUCAAAGCAGUUGUUCAGUUUAGUUCGGUAUUCAAAGCCACACCUUCAGUUCGGUGUUUAGAGCUGCAUUUUCUGUUUGGCAUCCAGAGCCGUUGUUCAUUUUCAAUUUGGUGUUCAGAGCUGUCGUUUAUUUCUAGUUCGGCAUUCAGAGUUGUCGUUUGUUUUUUUAGUUCAACAUUCAGAGUCGUCAUGUCUUUCUUUAAUUCGUCGUUCAGAGUCACAUCUCUAGUUAGGCGUUCAGAGCCGCAUCUUCCGUUUGGCGUUCAAAGUCAUGUCUUCAGUUCAACAUUCAGAGUCAUUAUUCAUUAUUGACAUUCAAAGCCAUUGUUUCAUUCAGGCAUUUGAUGCCACCAUUUUUCUUUAGUUUUGGUGUUCAGAGCCAUUAUGCAUACUCAUUCAGGCAUUUGAUCCCAUCAUCAUUCUUUAGCUUUGGGGUUCAAAGUUGUUGUGCAUACUCGUUUAGGUAUUUAGAGUCACCAUUCUUUCAUCCCUUUUGGCAUUCAGAAUCAUUUUCCUCACCUUGUUACCUUGUGCUUAUUGCUUGUUCAUCAUGGUCUUCUAGACUUCCCCUUCCACUACACAUGACAUAGUCCUUUGAGUUCGCGACACAUAUUUUGGUCAUGUUGUUGGGCACCCCACAUUUAGCGUUCUCAUGUAGCUCACAUAGGGCGGUCUCCUUUGAGCACAUUCUUUUCUGUACUCCAGGAUGGUUCGACCAUUGCUCAUCUUUGACAUUGACCUUCAAGUCACUUUUGGAGACGUCUUAGAUGGAGUUUGGAUCCUUAAUGCAACUUUAGAGGCACAUUGAGACAUGUUUUUCUCUUAGGAUUAGAGUCAUUUUGUUCAUCUAUUGGUCUAAGUGAGUUUGUGUUUUGCAAAUGUCCCUUUGGGGGUCUCCUUGGUUCUUCAAUAGAGUUCACUUCAUUCCACUCAUUAUGCACAUUUUCUUUUCACCUUAGUGUUCAUAUUCCUUACACUCGUGAGUUCUAUCGAAGAGGGGCAUAUUUGUAGGCCCCCUUUUUGGGGGCCAUUUUUUUGAAAAUUAUUUCUGUAGGUGGAGGGCUCUUAAAGAGCCACAUGUUGCCCCAAGUUUGGUCUUUAGAGAAUCAUGUUAGUGGUUUGAAGAAGCAAUGGGAGGGCGAUACGUGUCAUGGGAAUAUUCAGAAACAGUUUUUUUGAGGAUUUGGAGGAGUGGAUUUUUGAUAUAGAGAGAGGGAGGUCGUUAAGGAGGGAGAGAUAUUUGGUUGUUGUUACAUAGAGGUAUAGGUAGCUCGGGAGGCAAGACCGAGGAGACAUGUUUUUUCGGGUUGCUUGGGAGAGAGGGAUACCUGGGAGGGGACUCUCUGGAGGAGGUUAUAGACAAGUGUUUUUUUUAGUAGCUUGAGAGAUAAGACAACUGGAGAGAAGACCAUUUGAGCUAGAGAAAGGGAGAAGGAGAAUCACCUGAGCUUGAAAGGGAGAACUGGUUAGAGAGAGGAGGAAACACACAGAAGAAUCGUCUUGAAAGAGGGUGACAUAGUAAAUCGGCCCAUCACUCAGGUACACUCCUUGCGUCUCUUGUUGAUUCGAUUAUUUUGUUUUGAUUUAUAUUCAUUCGGUAUCCAUUUUUUAUCAAUCAAUUUCCAUACUUGCUUCAUCUCAUUAAUAGAGGCCCGUUUUUAGGGACUUAGAGGGGUGCUACGGUCUUUAUCGUACCUUCCCAAUAAGUAACUAGACCCUCGAGCCUAGAUUCGGUUUUUCACAAACCACCUUUUCCAAAAUAAGGAGUCACACUUAGGGUUUUCUUUCUUAUUUUGUUUACCCUUUAAAAAUAAAACAAAAAUAAGUGGCGACUCCAAGUCAUUUUCUUAAAAAAUAAAUCAUUUUCAAAUAAAAAGCGAGUUCACCAUCGAGUGGAAGCGGAUGAGCAGAAAUACGGGGUCCACAAAUACAUAUUAAAUUUAUUUUUAAAACAAAUUUAAAAAUAUAGCAAACGGUUUAAAAACAUUUCAAAUUCUCAAAUACACUUUUGUUAAUCUACUAAACAUUAAAUAACAUAUUUAAAAAAUUGUUCUCAAAAACUCUUUUAGAAUACACUUCUCACUCAAAACCUAAUAAACUAAGAAUAUCAAUAACAAAAUAUCAAUAAAAAUAUUUAAAUAAAAUAUGGAGAAAUCCUAUUCAAAAAGUAAAGUCAUGUUUAACAACUAUUUUCUUAAAACAGUUUUUUUUUUAUUCAGAAUAAAAAAUAGGAAAACAUGUUUGAGAACUAAAAAUCAUAAUAUGGUUUUCUAUUAUUAAAAGCAUGAAAUGGUGUUUUCAAGUAACAUCUUUAAAAUUUUAAGAGAUUAUCGGAUCAUGUCAAAAGGGUUUAGCUAGAAUAAUCUAGGAAAUUUUACUCUAAGGUACUUCUUCAAAUGCUCAUCAUCAUUGAAUCCCAUGAUUCCAAUUCUACAAUUGUAAGAGUGCGUUUGAGAGUGAUUUUAGAAAACGUUUAUAGUAUUUUCAACAUUUAAAUGAUAAAAAAUUUCAAAUAUUAAAAAGAUUAAAAACGUUUCCUAGAAUUAUUUUCAAACGGACUGUAAAUCCUUUUCUGGUUAUGUAAAUGAAAUAUACAAAUAUAAUAGUCGGAGACUAAAGACAAAAUGUUGUUUUAUAUAUACAUAUAUAACCGAAAUACAUGAAACUUGUAGUCUGAUUUUUCCAAUGGAAGGAGACAGUUCCACCAUUAUAUUGAUUUGGUAAUCAUUUCGAAAUAUAAUUUAACUCAUGCUUUGAAAUGCAAGAAACUAAGAAAUUAAACUGAAAUCUAAUAGAAUUAAAAUAAGAGAAGUUAACAAUACCCAUCCACCCAUUUUUAUUUUAUUUUUCUUGUUAAGUCCUCAGCUUUCCUCUUACUUCAUGCUUUUUCUUUCCCCAUGUUAAGAGACAAUUUAACAUCUAUUGAAAUAGUAUGUUGGAAGAUGGUUGAACACUUGUGAGAGAUAGUUAAGUACUACAAAUUAAAUAUAAUAGCAGAAAUUCAUCAAUGCAAACUAUUUUAAGGAUGUGCCAAAUUUCGUGAAAGAUGUAUCAAAUUUUGUAAAGGAUGUACCAAAUUGUCCUUAGGAUGUACCUUGGGUUCCAAUGUUCGUUUCAAGGUGGGGAACAACCUCCAAUUCCUUCUCGAGGGUCCCCAAAGGAAUAUAUGAACCAUAAGAAUGGAGAUAGGGGUCUUGGUUCCUCUAAGAAUGGAUAUACCUAGGAUUGCAAAGUUUGUUUUAGGGUGGGCGAGUACCUCCAAUUACUUAUCAAGGGUCCCAAAGGAAUAUAUACACCAUAAUAAGUAUGAUAAUGGUUCUAGUUCUCCUAAGCAUGAUUUACCUAUUUUUUUAAGGAUGCACCUAUUUUUUUUAUGAAAUUAAUAUAAAAGGUUAAAUACAAUUUUUUAUGAAAAAUAUAUUUUCUUUUAUAUUUUAUUUUAAUUAAAAAUUAAAGAUUUUAACCAAACAAAAAGUUAGAUCUACAAUCAAAUUAAAAUCAUAAGAAAAAUGAUAAAAGCAUCAUCACUUAUUGUGAUUUUGAUAUGAUAAAUUUAAAAUGAAAAUUAAAAGAAAAAUAGUGUAAAUAAUAAAAUAGUAUUACAAAGAUAUUUUUAUUUUUACAUGUGAUAGAAUUUACAAAAUAAAUAAAUCUUUUGUUGAGUAUUAAUAUAAAAAAUCUUAUAUCAUAAACUUCUAAAUAAUAAAAUAGAAUUUUUAAAUUUAAACCUUAAUUUAUCAAAUGUAUUAUUAUAAUUAAUAUUUAAAAUCAUCAAGUAUAUUAUUUGUGUGAUAAUAUUUUCAUUUUUGUCCAUUAUAUAUUUUUGUUUUUAUUUAAUUUGUUAUAUUAAUUAUUUAUUAUAUAUUAUCAUUUUAAGUUUAAUAUGUCAAAAAAAUAAUUAAAAUCAAUAAAUAUGAAGAAAUUAGAGAGUAAAGAAAAAUUAAAAUUAAAGAAGUUUUAUGAGAAAAUACAUGAGCAUAUUAAAAAGAAUAUAAAAUAAAAAGAGAAAAAUAAUAAUAAAAACUAUAAUAGGUGGCAAUAGAUUAUGGUGGGAAGAGAGGAAAAAAAGAGAAAAAAAAAAAAAGGAAAAAAGUGGGAAUGUGAUCAGAUAAGCUAGAUAUAUUAAUGGGAGAGAAAUAAUAAAAAUAAAUGACACAUGUAUUUAUCGUGGUAUUAAAUGAAUAGAUAAUAUUUUUUUCCUAUUUUACACAAAAUGUCAAAAGGAAAAAGUAAAGUUAUAAAAUCUCAUUGUAGACCCCUUCUUGCAAGACCAAGGUGUUAUUUUUAUUUUAUUUAGCUGCCACCACCCGAGGAAGGGGGUUUUUCUUUUUUUUGGUAGGAUGGGGGGACCCCUUUUCUGAAAGGAGAGCAGCUUCAUAGACACGGCGAGAGACGUGGGCGGCUUGCUGAGGUGAGGAACAGUAGGGCAAGUAGUGGCUUGCCAAAGAAGAUAGAAAAAAGGGGAAAAAUGGGGAAAAAGUGGCAGGCGGGUUCUGGGAGGAGAAAAAGAAAAAGGAGAUCCGGAAAGAAUCUGAGGAGAAAGCAAGCCGUUUUACCCUCACUUGAGGACUCAGGUAUGACCAUUAUGAGCGUUCUUACUUUAUAUCAUUUGGUUUUCCUCUCUUCACAUCGUUGAUCUUAGGCAGGGUUUGAUGGUUUUUGUUAUCAUAUUCAUUCUAUUAUUUUCUUUCUCUGUUUUCUCUGUUUUCCCUCAAAUGGCUGGGAUAUAGUUUACUUUCUUUGAGUUUGAUGUUCAAUUAAAUAUAUAAUAGCUUACUGCUCAUCCCACCAGUGGGCACUUCGUUUGUUGCUCAUGAAACGAGGUCUUGCUUGAUGAUUUCUUGAUUUCUUACUCUGUUUUAUCUAUUUUCAUCCCCCAUGCUUUUGGGCUCACGUGUGUUUAAUUGUGAAAAUUCCUUGGGCCGUGCAUCACCCUUCGUUGGACUGUGUUUCACCCUCUGAGGAAGCUUCGGCUGCCCCUAAUCUAGAAGCUGUUGAUAAUUCUGGAUACACAUUCGAGCCUCAACGAGGGUAAGGUUGUUGCCUACCCAUCAGAUAUGAGAUACUGUCACUUCAAGAACCGGGUUUGGAUGUUCAGCUGAGAGUGUCAACAGAGGAGAGGAGGCUAACAAUCUGCGUGGGGUUGUUGAUGCUUUUCACUUAAAGCACAGGGAAUAUGCUGAUGGGAUGACACAAAAAUUGGUAGUUGCAUGGAAUGUGAUGAUUCCGGGAAGAUGCCGGAGAUGAUUUUUUUUAUGCAGGCUGUGAUGAAUACCGGGACUGGCGCUAAACGGCUUCGGUGAAGAGGGUCUGAAACUAUCCUAUUGUACAGAGCCAGAGGAUUUUGAGCCAUGUGAUUACGCAUUUGCAGGGGUAAUUAUUGCUCGUGUUUGGUUGGCAGCGUUGAUACGUGGAUGGCAGCUCCAUGCUCAGCUUGUCCAGCCAUGUUUUGAUUCCAUCUUUCCAGCGGGGAAUGCGCUGAUCGUAAUGCAUGCAAGAUGUGGUGUGGUUGAGGCAGCCUAACAAAGUCUUAUUUGGGUCCGGUACCCUAGAACACCAUGAUUGCAGCUUGGGCCAACACGGGCAUGCCACGCUGAUUUAGUUGAAGGGGGACUUGGCCACUUUGAAUCCAUGUCAGGCCUUUAUUGUAUAUGCCCAGGCCCACCCAUUUGAGAGACACUUCUUGCUGGUUGUAGGACUCAUGAGAACAUGAACUGGGGUAUUCCCCAUACGCAUGCAGUGCAUGCAUGUAUAGCUACAUGAAACACUCCACAGCCCGUCCACUUAAGAGUCUCCAUGCCCACAUCAUCUUUCAUGACUCACACUGUUACCACCCCAACCCAUUCAACACCAUGCUCCAUUCAUCUUCAUUAACCCAUCUCUCACUAACUCACCCGUUACGUACCCUCCAUACCCAUUUGGUCACCAUCUUUAGCUCAUGCCUCUCAUACUCACCACGUACCCACCGCCCAUCUCCAUACCCAUCUUUCAUGCAUCCAUGUAAACUCACCACGUUUAUAUAUUCAGCCCUACAUACAUGGUCAUCUCCCAUAGUGCCCUUGUAAACACUCAUCUUCAUACCCAUUUUGUAACCACACCCAUCUCUUGUUCCAUAGACUCACCAAGCCCAUUUUCUUUCACUUUCACUCACCACCUAUUCAUCAUCCGUCCACCUCUCAUCCAAACCCAUUUUCUUAUCACCUUUCUCAUGCUCAUGCUUGCCACCACCUUUCCUCUCUCUACGUUCCCUAUUGCCCAUUUCUCUUUCUAACUCUCCACUCUUCAAACCGUUUCCUCAUCACUCUUUCACCCUCACCACCCAUCAGAAACACCAUCCUCUCAUUCCCAUAAUCUAUUUCACGUGCAUGGAGUCCCAUGCGUGCGGCCACCCCAAGCACCCUCCACGUUUGCUUAACCCAUCUCCUCAUACCCGUCUUCUUUUGAUACCCAUUCUCCAUACAUGCAUGGCUGCCCAAGCCCCCCUCUCCAAAGCUACUUCUAUGACCCCUCAUCUUCUCACUCAGAGUCUCUGUUUCUCGGAUCUAAGCCACGGCCAGUGCGAGAGAGGGAUACACACCGUUGAAGAAAUGGUGAUUUACAUCAUGUGAGCAUCGGGUUUAGAGCUGAAUUUCAUGAAAUGGAGGAAGUUAAUUUCAGCGGUUUGGAGUUAGUAUACCAUGUCAGGCACACCUUUGGAUCAGUCUUCUUGGAUGAUAGUGACAGUCAUGAUCAGCUGAUUGGGGUACUGCACCAUGAGGGACGCCUUUAUCCCUAACGAGGUGGGGCUGUUAGUGACUAGUUCAAAGGCACUAUUUGGAGCAGUUUCUGUGCUCGAUUUGAGGAGGUUGCUGUGGUCGGCAAGCUGUCGGAGCAUGAUGACCCUGAUCUUGGAUAUGAGGCGGCCAAAGGUGAAUGUGUUGAUACGGACAAAAGAUGGAUGAAGGGAAACCCUCAUCCCGGAAAUCGUUACGGGUGCACUCCUGCUGGAUGCCCUGUUCAUAAGUAUAUUGAGACGGCCAUAGAUGGCUCCAAUGCUGUCAUAAUAACCUACAAAGGGACACAUGACUAUGCCAUGCAUGAACAAAGAGAAAGCGACAUGGCCCAUCGAGUGCUCCUCUCGUCGCGGCUGCCGCUGCCUGGCUCCACAGAAUCAUGGGUGCGCCUCUUGCUCGGGUGAGGAAGUAUAGGUUCAUUGUGGUCCUUGGUUGGUAAGUGACAAAGCAUUGAAAGCGGCUGAUUGCAAGAGCGACGGGGAACGUUCCCAAUCCUCGUUCUCAUCCCAGCUGGAGAUCAGCCAUGGCCACUGAGUCCGUCGAAGGACCUCUUGCUGUCUUCACUCCGCGCAAUCCCUUUCGUUUUCUUCCCCGAGUUCCCUCCGAGACUCUCUCUCACACUUGAUCCGCUCAAGCACUGCGCUGAAGCUCUCAAGUUCUUCAAAGAUAAGCUCCAGACGCCUGAGAAGACCCGCUAGGGGUUCGUUUUCUUGCAGGUCAACAGGAUGGGACUAUCCGAAAUGAUGAGAAACUACACUGUGGCUCUCGACAGUGUCAAUUUAAGAAAAUACUGCUGCUGAUGUUGCUCUGAGGCUUGUAAGGCCAAGAAGAAAGAACAAGGAUGUAACAUAGGCAAUUCGGAGGGUUGCUGCUGCAUAUGCCUGCCAAAUUGUCGAAGGUAUACUCAGCCACCAGCCAAAGCAGUUUGUGAUAGAUGGGAACAAAGUCGUACUGAGUGUUCCCUGUCCGGAGACCAGAGUUGAGGAAGCUGUGAACUCUGAGACUUUAUUUCAGAUCCAGUCUCAGGUACAAGAAAACCUAGGGUCUCGGCCUGCCGAGAUAAAUGAGAUAUGGCAGCCUAGUAUAUUUGAUUCAUGGAGAGCCAGUCAACGUUAGUAUGAGAAUUGGUGAUGGCCGGCAAGAGAUCCUUGAGAGAAGUUUCUAUUCCAGGUGGAGGGGUCCCUGUUGAUGAUGAGACAAUCUUCUUUGCCGCUUUGGUGUGUCAGCCUACUGCCCACCUCAAAAAGCUUGUGGAUCAAGAUCCUAUGAGGCUAUGGUAUAUCCUCCUGAAGCUGCCAUAAAAAGCCCAGGCCCAUUUCUAGCAUGGCAUGCAUGGCCACCUUUGAUCCAGGUGCCAUUUCCCAUUUUGCCAUCUUUAACUUUUUAAAAUAAUUUUCCAAGUCCUUUUCUUCAAAUAAAUUUCCGGGUUUUAGUCUUUAAAUAAUUCCAGCUCCAUGUUUUUCUUCAUCCUUAGAAUUUUUAGGUUCCAAAAAUCUAUUUUCCAAUAAAAUUUGCCACAAUUUUCUUCUUGGCGAGUCUCAUUUUCACAUUUUCCGUGAUUUCUAAAAUGUUUUUAAAAUAAGCAAGGAUCAAAUUUUGUAAUUCCUAAUUAUGGAAUUUACGGAUUUGGCUCAUGCAAAAUAAAUAGGCUUUGGUGGGGGGCCCCACAUAUAUGUUUCUGAUGAUUGAUUGGUUGAUUGUUCGAUUUGAUUAUCAUACAUGUUUGAUUUAUCCUGCUCUUUGACGUACAUGCCAUUAUUCUCUAAUUGUGUACUAACCAUCUUUCUUGAUAAUGCAUUGAUCGUUUGACGCCAAGGUAUGCCCUUUUCUCACUCUAGUCACUCUAUAUAUAUGUAUUGAUUCUCACACCUGCAUGAUCAUUUUGAGUAUUCAUUGAUUUACUCGUCAAUUGCCGCGUCAGCUUCAUUUUAUUAGUAGAGGCCCGACUUUAGGGACUUAGAGGGGUGUUAUGGUCUUUUACCGUACCUUCCCGAUAAGUAACCUGACCCUCGAACCCGAUUCGGUUUUUCACAGAUCACCUUUUCCAAAAUAAGGAGUCGCACUUAGGGUUUUCUUUCUUAUUUUAUUUACCCUUUAAAAAUAAUACAAAAAUAAGUGGCAACUCCAAGUCAUUUUCUAAAUCAAUAAAAAUCAUUUUUCAAAUUAAAAUUGAGCUCGCCAUCGAGUGGGAAACGCAUGAGCCAAAAUGCAGGGUCCACACUCAUAUUUUUUUAAAUUAGUGUAUGAUUACAUGAUUUCCCAAAAAAGAAUAUCAGUGUACACAGAAUCCCGAAGAAUUGGACACAAGUAGAAUUGAAAUUGAAUGUGAAUCGAGUGUGAAAGGACAACUUGUAAGAAGACAUUUCUCAGACUUUUCUCAAUAGUACGGUAAUUUAAAAAAAUUAUUCUUAAAUUAUUGUAGUAGAAGAAGUUAUUACAAAUAUAUGAUAGUUUUUGCCACUUAGGAGAGAGGGUGAACGGAUAAAUUUUUUUUUAAACCAAAAUCGUCUUUUCAAAAGACGAUUUUAUUUCCAUUUAAAAAAAAAAAUUCAAAAGGGAAAUCGUCUCUUGAAGAGACGAUUUCCCAUUAAAAAAAAUUAAUAUUUUUUUUAAUAUUUAUUACAAAUUAUUAAAAAAAAAAAAACCCAAGGGAAAUUGUCUUUUGAAGAGACGAGUUCCCAUGAAAAAAAAUAAUAUUUUUUUUAAAAAAAAUCCCGAAUUAAAAAAAAAAUCCUCAAGGGAAUUCCCAUAAAAAUUUAAUAUUUUUUUUUUAAAAAAAUUCCAAAUUAUAAAUAAAAAAUUAAAAUAAAAAAUCCUCAAGAGAACUCAUCUCUUUAAGAGAUGAGUUUCCAUGAAAAAAAAAAUAUUUUUUUUACAAAAAAAUUCCCAAAUUAAAAAAAAAAAAAAAAAAAUCCUCAAGGAAACUCGUCUCUUGAGAGACGAGUUCCCAUGGAAAAAUAUAUAUAUAUAUAUAUAUAUAUAUAUUUAAAAUUCCCAAAUUAAAAAAAAAAAAAAAUUCCUCAAGGAAACUUGUCUCUUCAAGAGACGAGUUCCCAUGAAAAAUAUAUAUAUAUAUAUAUAUAUAUAUAUAUAUAUAUAUAUAUAUAUAUAUAUAUAUAUUUUUUUUUAAAAUCCCAAAUUUUAAAAAAAAAAUUCCUUAAAGGAACUCGUCUCUUUUUUUAAAAAAAAAAUCCCAAAUUAUAAAAAAAAAAAGAAAAAAAAAAUCCUCAAGGGAACUCGUCUCUUCAAGAGAUGAGUUCCCAUGAAAAAAAAUCUCAAAUUAUAUAAAAAAUAAAAUAAAAUAAAAAAUCCUCAAGGGAACUCAUCUCUUCAAGAGACAAGUUCCCAUGAAAAAAAAUUAAUAUUUUUUUUUUUAAAAAAAAUCCCAAAUUAUAAAAUUAAAAAAAAAAAAUCCUCAAGGGAACUCGUCUCUUGAGACGAGUUCCCAUGAAAAAAAAUAAUAUUUUUUUUUAAAAAAAAUCCCAAAUAAAAAAAUAAAAUAAAAAAUCCUUAAGGGAACUCAUCUCUUAAAGAGACGAGUUCCCAUGAAAAAAAAUUAAUAUUUUUUUUAAAAAAAAAUCCCAAAUAUAAAAAUUAAAAAAAAUCCUCAAGGGAACUCGUCUCUUCAAGAGACAAUUUCCCAUUAAAAAAAAUUAAUAUUUUUUUUUAAAAAAAUCCCAAAUUAAAAAAAAAAAAUCCAAAGGGGAAAUCGUCUCUUCAAGAGACGAUUUCCCAUUAAAAAAAAAUAAUAUUUUUUAAAAAAAAUCCCAAAUUAUAAAAUAAAUAAAUAAAUAAAUAAUUCCAAAAGGAGAAAUUGAAAAACUUUUAGAAUAUUGUAAACAAGAAAUUGAUUCAUUAUUAAAUACAAAAUGCUGUUGAGAUAGAAAAAGGAGCACCAAGAUUAGUCAUUAAUUAUAAACCUUUAAAUAAAGUAUUACAAUGGAUAAGAUACCCUAUUCCUAGUAAGCAAGAUCUACUCAAAAGAAUACAUAAUUCUGUAAUUUAUUCAAAAUUUGAUAUGAAAUCUGAAUUUUGGCAAGUUCAAAUUAAAGAAGAAGAUAGGUACAAAACUACUUUUACUAUCCCUUUCGGUCAUGAUGAAUGAAAUGUCAUGCCUUUUGGUCUCAAAAAUGCCCCUUCUGAAUUUCACAAUAUUAUGAAUGAUAUUUUCAAUCCUCAUUUUCAAUUUAUAAUUGUAUACAUUGAUGAUGUCUUAGUAUUUUUUGAUUUAUUAGAAAAACAUUUUGUUCAUCUAAAAAAGUUUUUCAAUGUCAUUAAAGCAGAUUUUUAGAACAUGAAAUUUUUUAAGGAAAAACAAAACCGAUUCAAAGGUCAAUAGAAUUUGCUGACAAAUUUCCUAAUGAAAUAAAAGAUAAAAAACAAUAGGUUGUUUAAAUUAUGUUUCUGAUUACUUCAAAGAUUUGAGAAUCAUUUGUAAACCCUUAUACAAAAGACUUAGAAAAAAUGCACCUGCAUGGACUGAGCAUCAAAAGUCAUGAAUAGUAGUGAAUAGUAGAAUUUGUCUACUUUCUACUACUUUGCAAUCAACGUGGAGGAUGGGAAAGUAAAGUGAAUUUUUCUCUUUUCAAGUCUCUGACAAGGAAAAGAAAUUCUCCCUCUCCAGACUUCAUUACCCAACUGUCUCUACACGUGAUGAAUUUCAAAAAUUUUCAAGAUUGAAGAUUCAAUAGAAUUUCAAGUCUGAAUCAUCGCCUAUAAAUAGAGCCUCAACAUUCUUCAUCAAGCAGAGUCGGGAAGAGAGCUUCAAGAGCAGAAAAAAUUUAGAGAGUGCAAAAUUUUGAGCGUUCAAAAAUUUUUCCCUUUGGAAUUUUUUUUAUUUUUUUAUUUUAUAAUUUGGGAUUUUUAAAAAAAAAAUAUUAAUUUUUUUUCAUGGGAACUCGUCUCUUCAAGAGAUGAGUUCCCUUGAGGAUAUAUAUAUAUAUAUAUAUAUAUAUAUAUAUAUAUAUAUAUUUUAUAUUUGGGAUUUUUUUUAAAAAUAUAUUAAUUUUGUUUCAUUUGGGAUUUUUUUUUUAAAAAAAUAUUAAUUUUUUUUUCAUGGCCCUUGAGGAUUUUUUUUUAUUUGGGAUUUUUUAUAAAAAAAAUAUUAUUAUUUUUUCAUGGGAACCUUGAGGAAUUUUUUUUUAAUUUGAGAUUUUUUUAAAAAAAAUACUAAAUUUUUUUUUAUGGGAACUCGUCUCUUCAAGAGACGAAUUCCUUGAGGAUUUUUAUUUAUUUAUUUUUUUAUACUUGGGAUUUUUUUUUCAUGGGAACUCGUCUCUUCAAGAGACGAGUUCCCUUGAGGAUUUUUUUUUUUUUUUUUAAUUUGGGAUUUUUUUUUAAUAUUAAUUUUUUUUUCAUGGGAACUUGUCUCUUGAAAAGACGAGUUCCUUGAGGUUUUUUUUUUUUUUUUUUACAAUUUGGAUUUUUUUUUUAAAAAAUAUUAAAUUUUUUAAUGGGAAAUCGUAUCUUCGUAGGGAUUUUUUUUUUAAUUUGGGAUUUUUUAGAAAAAAAAAUAUUAAAUUUUUUUAAUGGGAAAUCGUCUCUUGAAGAGACGAUUUCCCUUUUGAAAUUUUUUUUUUUAAAUGGAAAUAAAAUCGUCUUUUCAAAAGACGAUUUUGGUUUUUGAAAAGACGAUUUUGGUUUUUGAAAAUACGAUUUUGGUUUAAAAAAAAAUUUAUCCAUUCACCCUCUCUCCUAGGUGGUAAAAACUACCAUAUAUUUGUAAUAACUUUUUCUACUACAGUAAUUUAAGAAUAAUUUUUUUAAUUUAUCGUACUAUUGAGAAAAGUCCGACAUUUCUGGUUCUCAUUCAAAGUAAUGAAUUCCAUGUCGGUAGGCGUUCUGUUAUGCGUUCCUUGUUUUCUUUCUCUUUCACAAGGACUUGAUUAGGAAGACUUGAAGUCAAACCGAGCCUCAUUGAUCUUCCAACUACGUACCAAAUAUAUAUCUAUUAGUUGAUCUUCCAUUUAAGAUUAAUAGAUGGAAACCAAAAAGUCAGGCGUAUUGUUUGAGCCGCAGAAAAGUCGGCAAUGAAGACCUCUUUUCCGUCGUCGUGGAAAGAUAGGCACGAAUUAAUGAAGUGAACGGGCCAUUGUUGUGUCAAAUCAUAAUUGGUUCCUAAAGGAAAAUUCUGACAAAAUCGUAAGAGUAAAAAAUGUAAGAAAAUGAUAAAUUGUCAUGUGACUUGAAAUGGAGUAGAUAGGGGGAAACAAGGAAGGAAAAAACAUAAAAGAAAUACAUAUUAAACAUGAUCUAUAACUAGAUCAUUCUUUUUUCUUCCUGUUUAAUUUAUCCCAAUCUACAUAUUAAACAUGCUUUGUUGUAGCAGUACUUCCUAGCUGCUUCCAAUGAGAAUUGCACUCUUUUCAUGGCUUUAUUUCUUGCCCUUAUGCUCAAUCGUUUUUGGUAUCCAUGUUGCUUUGGUGUCCGGGGAAUGUCUGAGUGAUGGGAGCAUAUGCCUGGAGGAUCAGAUGUCCUUGUUGCUGCAACUGAAGAACACCCUCAAAUUCAAUGUUGCUGCAUCAAGUAAACUAGUUUCCUGGAAUCCAAGCAUGGAUUGCUGUUCUUGGGGAGGUGUAACCUGGGAUGCCACUGGUCAUGUUGUCGCUCUCGAUCUCAGUAGCCAAUCAAUUUAUGGUGGAUUCAAUAACACCAGUAGCAUUUUCAGUCUACAAUAUCUGCAGAGCUUGAAUUUGGCUGACAACUCCUUCAACUCUUCUCAAAUUCCAUCUGGAUUCGGUAAGCUUGGCAAUUUGAUGUACCUGAAUUUGUCUAAUGCUGGGUUUUCUGGGCAGAUUCCAAUUGAGGUCUCAUGUUUGACGAAAUUGGUUACUAUUGAUUUCUCUGUGUUUUACCUUGGAGUUCCUACGCUGAAACUUGAGAACCCAAAUCUGAGAAUGCUGGUUCAGAACCUGACAGAGCUUAGAGAACUCUAUCUUAAUGGUGUAAACAUAUCGGCACAAGGGAAGGAAUGGUGCCAGGCAUUAUCAUCUUCAGUGCCUAAUCUCCAAGUGCUGAGCUUGCCAAGCUGUUAUCUUUCUGGGCCUCUCGAUUCUUCUCUGCAGAAGCUUCGGUCUCUUUCAAGUAUUCGCCUGGACGGUAACAACUUCUCUGCUCCUGUUCCAGAAUUCCUAGCCAAUUUCUCGAAUUUGACUCAAUUGCGGCUCAGUUCUUGUGGAUUAAAUGGAACAUUUCCAGAAAAGAUCUUUCAGGUACCAACCCUUCAGAUUCUUGAUUUGUCAAACAACAAGUUGCUCCUGGGUUCUUUGCCGGAAUUCCCUCAGAAUGGAUCUCUAGAAACCUUGGUACUCCCGGAUACAAAAUUUUCAGGGAAAGUACCAAACUCCAUAGGCAAUCUCAAGAGGUUGACUAGGAUAGAGCUUGCACGUUGCAAUUUCAGUGGGCCAAUCCCAAACUCCACGGCCAACCUUGCUCAAUUAGUUUACUUGGACUUGUCUGAAAACAAGUUUUCCGGUCCAAUCCCACCUUUUAGUUUGUCCAAGAACCUGACCCGAAUAAACCUUUCUCAUAAUUAUUUAACAGGUCCGAUUCCUUCCUCUCACUUGGAUGGCCUUGUGAAUCUAGUGAUUCUUGACUUGCGUGACAAUUCACUGAAUGGAAGUCUCCCCAUGCCCCUGUUUUCCCUCCCAUCACUGCAGAAGAUACAACUGAGCAACAACCAAUUUUCUGGUCCCUUGAGUAAAUUUUCGGUUGUGCCUUCUGUAUUGGACACCCUUGAUUUGAGUAGCAACAAUCUGGAAGGGCAAAUACCUGUAUCCAUCUUUGAUCUCCAGUGUCUUAACAUCCUUGAUCUUUCUUCCAACAAAUUCAAUGGCACUGUUUUACUAAGCAGCUUUCAGAAACUUGGAAAUCUUACCACUCUUAGUCUGUCAUACAACAACUUGUCCAUCAAUUCAAGUGUUGGUAAUCCCACUUUGCCCCUGCUGUUGAAUCUUACCACAUUAAAAUUGGCUUCUUGCAAGCUCAGAACAUUACCUGAUCUUAGCACCCAGUCAAGAUUGACAUAUUUAGACCUUUCCGAUAACCAAAUUUGUGGGAACAUACCCAAUUGGAUUUGGAAGAUUGGUAAUUGCUCUCUUGCCCAUUUGAAUCUCUCCCAUAAUUUACUGGAGGAUCUGCAAGAACCUCUCUCUAAUUUUACUCCUUAUCUGUCUAUCCUUGAC
RNAcentral lists this long non-coding RNA (50862 nucleotides) under Vitis vinifera (wine grape). Its description in RNAcentral is "long non-coding RNA (VVIN_LNC002455)". The record is from RNAcentral. Lineage: Eukaryota; Viridiplantae; Streptophyta; Magnoliopsida; Vitales; Vitaceae.